CACUACAUAAAAUAGGUAGAUAAUGCAUAAGACUAAGAUUGUAGCUAGGGAUGAAAAUCUAAAUACGACAUGAAUCUAACAAUUACGAGUAAUGUCUUUGUGACAAGAACUUUCUUUGUCUUUUAUUCCCAUGUUUGAACUAGUAUAGGUCGGGGUUACACAUUAUGGUGCACAUCACUUUAUUUAUCAUCGUUACAUUGAACGCUCAUUGACUAAACAACGAUGAUCCAUCCAUCUUGUAUUGUAGGUCUUCAUUUCAUUGGCCACCGAUGCUUGUAAGACUAGUCUCAUAUGGUUGUUGUUGUGGAUAUGGUUGUUGAGGUUGGUGUGGUUGCUGGGGUUGCUGGGAAAUUGUUUGUUCUGGUUGCUGGGAUAAUUGUUGUUGGGGCUGUAGAAAUGGUUGUUGUGGUUGUUGGGGUAAUGGUUGUUGUGGUUGCAGGAUGGAUGGUUGUUGGGGUUGCUGGGGUUGGGGCUGGGGAAAUGAUUGUUGUGAUUGUUGGGGUUGCUGGGGAAAUGGUUGUUGCGGUCCUAGGAGGAAUGAUUAUUGUGGUUGUUGGGGGAAUGGUUGUUGNNNNNNNNNNNNNNNNNNNNNNNNNNNNNNNNNNNNNNNNNNNNNNNNNNNNNNNNNNNNNNNNNNNNNNNNNNNNNNNNNNNNNNNNNNNNNNNNNNNNNNNNNNNNNNNNNNNNNNNNNNNNNNNNNNNNNNNNNNNNNNNNNNNNNNNNNNNNNNNNNNNNNNNNNNNNNNNNNNNNNNNNNNNNNNNNNNNNNNNNNNNNNNNNNNNNNNNNNNNNNNNNNNNNNNNNNNNNNNNNNNNNNNNNNNNNNNNNNNNNNNNNNNNNNNNNNNNNNNNNNNNNNNNNNNNNNNNNNNNNNNNNNNNNNNNNNNNNNNNNNNNNNNNNNNNNNNNNNNNNNNNNNNNNNNNNNNNNNNNNNNNNNNNNNNNNNNNNNNNNNNNNNNNNNNNNNNNNNNNNNNNNNNNNNNNNNNNNNNNNNNNNNNNNNNNNNNNNNNNNNNNNNNNNNNNNUGCAGGGGGAAUGGUUGUUGGGGAAUUAUUUGUUCUGGUUGCUGGGGGAAUGGUAGUUGGGGCCGGGGAAAUGGUUGUUGGGGUUGCUGGGGGAAUGGCUGUUGUGGUUGCAGAGGGAAUGAUUGUUGGGUCUGGGGAAAUGGUUGUUGUGAUUGCUGGGAAAAUUGUUGUUGGGGUGUGGGAAAUGGUUGUUGCGAUGGAUAUGGUUGCUGUGAUGGAUAUGGUUGUUGUGGAUAUGGCUGUUGUAGAAAUGGUUGUUGUUGAUAGGAAAAUGAUUGUUGAGGUGAUUGUAAUUCUUUGUUGCUAGGGUUUAGCUGCCUAGCGGCAGUGGCGAUGUUCAUCGCCAUGGCAAGGAGGACAAAGAUGAGGAAGGUCUUCAUGUUGGAUUUGUGGUUACUACUGCUUGCUUGCUUUUGAUGCUUGUGGUCUAGGUGUGUGAAGUUUGGAUGAUGAAAUGUGGUCUUGGUGGUGCAUGUGUAUUUAUAGUUUUCAUGGCAUGGCUUGCUUUCUUCUUCCCACUCGCUUUUUGAAAAAGUGCACCAAUGCUUAUCCAACUAAUCAUUUGAUUUGUUGUGUUUGGUGCAACUACUUACUAGCAAGAUUUUGGAUUUUCAUGAUAGUUGCUUUUUGUUGAAAUCAUCUGGUUGUAAGGAAUGUUGGAUAAUGACCAAUGACUCAUCUUCUUCACUUUACACUGCAAACAUUGAUCUAAAUUAUAUCCUUUUUUGAAAUUUAGUUUGUGAAGCUCUACAUGUUGUUAGGCUUAUCUAUAUUGGCAUAGCUUGAGUGGAAUUAAGUUUGUAAGCUUGUGAGCGUCAUUAUGAUGGAUCACACUAUUAAUGUGAUGAUUGUACUACAAAUUAUCUUUCCAAAACUAAUUUUAUGUUUUUUCCCAAUAUGAUUCUAAGACGGAUAACCAGACAUGACUCAUCAAAUAACAAGAUAAACCGAGUAGCAAAUUGGGGUUAUAAGUUAUAACAUGGACUUUUCUCUAAGAUACACUAUCUUGUCUUGCAUGCUCUGUGAAUUUGAAAAGCAUCUACUAAUUUAUAUGCAAUUGAAACAAAAGUAGACCAGAAAGAUAAGCAAUGAAAUGAGAAUACUAUUAUGUGAAGCUCUACAUGUUUGGCAAGCAAUAAGAUACUGGAUACAUCUAUAUCUUCAAUCCUGACAAUUUUUCUCAUCCCUAUCAACUCUUUAUUGGCUGCCUUUACUGUAGUCAUCCCUUAAAUAAAAAUCACUUAAAGAUAAGUUUGGGAGCUAGUACCAGCAUCUAUCAUGUACAAGAUAAAAAACUAAGGCACAUAUAGUAGUCUAUUGACUAUAUUUAAUUUCAUGUGAUGUGAAAGCAUGUGGAGUAUAAGUUGGUUAAAUAUAAAAUUGUCCUUCAUACCAGUAGGGAAAGAAUAUGCAGUAUAAAGAUUAGAGCAUUAUUAAUAUGCUAUUAAAUGCUACAGGAUAAUCGAUAGUUCAAGUUAAGAACAACAAUAGCAUUCCAACUUUUGUUUUGUGCAAGUUAAGAACAUGCUAACAAAGUAACCUAAGCAAAUAAGUGCAACACCUUCACCUAUAAGGAAAUUUUGAAACUACACAAAAUGACCUAUUGUAAAGAAGGAAAAAAAUCUAAAGGUGAAUGAAAAGCAUGUUAAGUACAUUCAGGAUUCGGUUAUGCCUUCAUGGAUAACCUUUUAGAUGGUGACUUGUCAACCUUGAUGUGUGUCGGCAUGGAACGAGGACAAGAAGACAUCGUUACGUCGUACUUUGGGAAUUUCAUCAAACUGGUUGUGUGCGGGAACAAAUAUUUGUCGCCUCCCUGCUCAAAUCUCUCUUCAUGUCACUAAAUCCGACACUCCACCUACCAAAAUCAGCUGCAAGCCAGGGACAAUCAACAGGUUUCUCCGCCCGUAGCAUCUAUCACCAAAAGAAGUUCAGACUAUAGUCUUGUAGUUUAAAAUUUUGUAAUAACAAGCACUACUAGGUUGCUCUUGUUUGUACGUCUUCAUUAUGUACAACCCAUGGAACUUAAAAUGCAUGGGUCAUUCUUCGGUAUAUACAACCAAUGCAACCAAACAUGCAUUGGGCUUUUCUUUGUACAUCUUCAGGUUCUACAACCAAUGCAACAAAAAAUCCAUUGGGCAGUCUUCCAUUCUAGUCGGGCACCAAUAGUUAAACGAGGAGCUAAACAGUGUUGGAGUCUAAAACUACAUACAAUCAUGAAGCAGAGAGAUGCGACUUGGAAGUUGUGCUCCUGUGAGCUCGUAUUUUUGAAGAAAAAAGUAAUAUUUGUAUUUUGAAGUGGGAAAAAGUCCUAAAAAGGGAUGUUUUGCGGGUUAUAACUUACUAUUUUUGAGUCCUGGGCUGCAGGAAGGUCGUAAAAAAUCAAUGUGUUUUCCCAUUCAUGCAUGUUUCUUGGGUUAUAGGUCACGCUUUUGGUGUCCUAGGGAGAUCACUUCCCCAGUUGGGAACAUUAGGUGAUGAUUUUUAGCAAAACUCAUUGUUUUAGCCUAACUAGUUUCGAGGAUUGGUGGACAAGAUUAUCAUGGAACAAAGUGACAACCUUCCUUUUCUUCAUGCCUAAUAUAAACUUAGCAGUCAACUAAAAGUAACUAGCGAUAUCACAGAAUGUUUUUUUGUCAAAAGUAGAUACCACUUCAGGAUUCAACUCGGUUAGUUCAAUCAUAGACAUGUUAAGAGCAGGAUUUACAACUAACUGCAUAGGGAACAUCUCCUUUUAUCGCCCACUAUCUGUCUAUGCACUUUGGUUUUCCCGUAGCAGCACACAAAGCACUUUGUUAGUACCAAUAAUGUGCUCCAACUCUACACAUUAAUCAUCUUGAAUUCUUCUACUGAUGUCGAACAAUGUUAUAUCUUGAAUUCUUCUAACGAGUUCAGAUUAUACUACAUGGGCAAUUUAUCUGGUCCCUGAGAUGCAAGGUCGAUGAACAAUCGCUUCGUCUGAUGAUGAGGGAUUGUUUUUGCCUAAGAAACCAAUACAUGUAACUUCGACGCCAGAUUAAUAAUUGGUAAAACCCAAAUAAAUUAGAUCACGAGCUAAACCAUUUAAUUUUGUAUGCAUUUAAACUUUUGAUACAUAUGAGCUUGUUAAGAUGUUCGCAUAAACACCAUGGUGAUUUGAAGCAAGACAAAGUAAACUUGAACCGCUUGAGCCACUGACUUAAUAAGAACCUCCUUUCCCGUGGCAGAGAUCGUUUUUAAUACAUCCACUCACUUUGGUUCUCUUAUGAAAUCUAGAUUCCUUCGCUAAGGCUAUUGCUCCAGUAUUGUCACAAAAGAUUUUUGUUGGACCCGAUGCACUAGGUAUGACACCUAGAUCGGAUAUGAACUCCUUCAUCCCGACUCCUUCAUUUGCUACUUCCGAAGCAGCUAUGUACUCCUCUUCACAUGUAGAUCCCUCCACGACGCUUUGCUUGAAACUGCACCAACUGACAGCUCCACCAUUCAAUAUAAAUACGUAUCCGGUUUGUGACUUAGAGUCAUCCAGAUCAGUGUCAAAGCUUGCAUCAACGUAACCAUUUACAACGAGCUCUUUGUCACCUCCAUAAAUGAGAAACAUAUCCUUAGUCCUUUUCAGGUAUUUCAAGAUGUUCUUGACCGCUAUCCUAUGAUCCACUCCUGGAUUACUUUGGUACCUCCCUGCUAAACUGAUAGCAAGGCACACAUCUGGUCUGGUACAUAGCAUUGCAUACAUGAUAGAACCUAUUGCUGAAGCAUAGGGAAUGACUUUCAUUUUCUCUCUAUCUUCUGCAUUGGUCGGGCAUUGAGUCUAACUCAACUUCACACCUUGUAACACAGGCAAGAACCCUUUCUUUCCUUGAUCCAUUUUGAACUUCUUCAAAACUUUAUCAAGGUAUGUGCUUUGUGAAUGUCUAAUUAACCGUCUUGACCUAUCUUUAUAGAUCUUGAUGCCCAAUAUAUAAGCAGCUUCACCGAGGUCUUUCAUUGAAAAAUUCUUAUUCAAGUAUCCUUUUAUGCUAUCCAGAAAUUUCGUAUCAUUUUCGAUCAACAAUAUGUCAUCCACAUAUAAUAUCAGAAAUGCUACAAAGCUCCCACUCACUUUAUAAAGGCUUCUCCAAAAGUCUGUAUAAAACCAUAUGAUUUGAUCACACUAUCAAAAUGUAUAUUCCAACUCUGAGAGGCUUGCACCAAUCCAUAAAUGGAUCACUGGGCUUGCACACUUUGUUAACACCUUUUGGAUCGACAAAACCUUUUGGUUGCAUCAUAUACAACUCUUCUUUAAGAUAUCCAUUAAGAAAUGCAGUUUUGACAUCCAUUUGCCAAAUUUCAUAAUCAUAAAAUGCGGCAAUUGCUAACAUGAUUUGGACAGACUUAAGCAUCGCUACGGGUGAGAAGGUCUCAUCAUAAUCAACUCCUUGAACUUGUCGAAAACCUUUCGCAAAAAGUCGAGAUUUGUAGACAGUAACAUUACCAUCAUCGUCAGUCUUCUUCUUGAAGAUCCAUUUAUUCUCUAUGGCUUGCCGAUCAUCGGGAAAGUCAACCAAAGUCCACACUUUGUUCUCAUACAUGGAUCCCAUCUCAGAUUUCAUGGCCUCAAGCCAUUUCGAGGAAUCUGGGCUCAUCAUUGCUUCCUCAUAGUUUGUAGGUUCAUCAUGGUUGAGUAACAUGACCUCCAGAACAGGAUUACCAUACCACUCUUGUUGGGAAUAUGACUACCAGGUAUGACCCGCCCAGGAGGGGCCGGGUCAAUCCUAAUGGCGGGUUACUAAAAGAAGCUCAGUGAAUAUACAAGGCGAUAGUUUAUUAUAAGACUUGUAGUAGGACCAAGCCCAAAGGCGGGUUAAGGCCCAUAAUUGUAAACCGCCAUGUAUAAGAAAGAAUUGUAAAGAAAGGCAUGUAAGAGAAGUCACCGAGCCGGGCACGUUAUAUGAGCCGGCUGGGACUCUGUAGGCCGCCAGGCGUCAACCCGUGUAUAUAAGGGGACGACCCGGUGGCGGCUUAGGGCAAGUAACAUCAAAUCGAGAGCCAUGCAUAGCGUAUUUGCUCCCUGGUCAUCGAAACCUAGCAAUACCACAUCAACUGGACUAGGCUUUACCUUCACCGUAGGGGGCCGAACCAGUAUAAACCUUUCGUGUCCUUUGUCCCGAUUAACCCCUUUAAGCUUCCUAGUUGCGAUGGCUCCACGACUAAGUCCUUUCAGUAGGACAUCUGCCGUGACAAUUCCACGACAGUUGGCGCCCACCGUGGGGCCAUCGCACGAUGGAUUUGAGUUCUUGAAGGGCAGCUUCCAAGGGCUCAAGGGAUACGCUGUGGGCCGGAUAACCAAAAGUUGUCACAGCAAGCUCUACAUCGACGACGCAGGCUGGGGCCCCGAGGCUGGCUCAAUCGAGUACGGGUACCGGGUCCCCUUCGGCGGAAUCCACGUCUUCAUCGGCCGGAUCGGCGAGCCGGGCCCUGAGUCGGACAUCUGCACCGACCUCAUCGAGAUGGCUCAGCGAGUGAGACCUGCCCGGGCUCAACCUGCCGUGAGGCGUGCCUUCGUGGGUUGCAUCCAUGGAGGGGAAUUUUCUGAAGGAUCGAUGGACGGUGGUGAGACAGUCGUUUGCUCUAGCAGUGAGUCGUCCAUAGGCGAGACAGAUUCUUUGUAUCAGCUACAAGAUGGCGGGCUUGGGGGCUGUUCCGAUGGCAGUAGUAUUCCGGACCCCUCUGAGCCGCCGAAUCGAGCCGGAGUCUUCAUGGCUGGCACUCAACCUGGUUAGAAUUCUAUGGCUGCGGCAGCAAUAACCACUGGGUCAGCAGGGGCCGGGUCAGGAGACCCCGCGCGCCCACCGGCUCAGGUACUAAUGGACCUCAUGGAUAGGAUGACGGCCCUGUUGACUGCUGUGGUUGAGCCGGCAGAUAAGGCUCAGCAUGACGCAGAGGUAGCACAGCUACACAGAGAGGUAGCACAGGCCAAGGAAAAUUUAGUGGCGGAAGAUGUCAGGAUGGCCGCGGAACGGGCGGCUCUGGAUGCACGGGCUCGGCAGCUUCAAGCGAAGACUUUCUGGCUCUCGGUGGAUCUGAACGCAUCAAACGAGGUCACGAGGAGAAGGCACCAGAAGGCUCAAUCAUGUCUGCCUCUGACUUACGAUCCUAGGAACCUUUUUCACACACCCGGGACUGGUCCCAGUAACCCGCUGAAGGCAAACCGGAUCACAACACCCGGGACCGGGACGCCGGUUCAACCGCGGGCCAUGGAACCACCGCGUGUGAAUACUGCUCUGCCUCACUACACAGCGAUACCACCGGGUCACUUCUCUAACCCCUUGGAGAACCUUAUUGCUGCGUCGGCUCAUCUGGCGGCUCUCCCGAUGGAAGGUGACUCUUCGACGGCGAUCGAGACACGACGGGUCAGAGAACUUCUUCAGACGGCUCUGGCACAGCAGGAUGCAUAUUCUUAUAGUUGAGAUAGAAUCCAUUCAACCCCUCGCCCAAGCCGGAGCCCAAGCUAUAGCAGGCAUAUGGACUCGGCGGCCAUGUCAAGCAACACCCAGCGCCGUAACCAUCCACGUGGGCGUGACCCGGCCCCGGGCGGAGCUUGUAACUUGGUAGACCAGGAGAGGAUCCGUCAAGAGGCUGAACGGGUGGUUCAACAGGCGGCUGAGCAAGCGGCUCACCAAGCUUUUCCAAUUUAUACAGUGACCUCUGUUGAAGCAGGGGUGGCCACAAGGACAGGAGGAGUCCCUUGUCUUGUGCAGUCUCUGCGUAAUGAGCGUUUACCAAAGGACUUUAAGGGGCCUCGUAAGGUGCCCAAUUACACAGCCGACCUGCAGCCCGGAGCAUGGAUUGAAAGUUACGAGAUGGCCAUGGAGUUAUUAUAAGUCAGUGACGCAGCAAUGGCCAAAUACUUCACCAUGAUGUUGGAUGGAACAGCUCGUACUUGGUUAAAGGGGUUACCGCCCAACUCCAUCGGCUCAUGGGCGGAGUUGAAGGCACGGUUCAUUCAGAACUUUAAAGAUACCUGUAAACAGCCCAUGUCAAUCGUGGACUUGACUAACUGCAAGCAAGAGGAAGGCAAAUCCAUGACCCAUUGGGUGCGCCGGGUCAAGGAAAUAAUACAUUCAUCUGAUAAGAUGGAUGCCAGCUCCACGGUCUUAAUGUUGGAGAAAAAUUACCGUUUUGAACCUCUGAAACAGAAGCUGGGGCGGCUCAAGCAUGAUUGUAAUGACAUGGGCCAGUUGAUGGCGGCUCUGGUCAAAUAUGCUGACUCUGACAGUACCAAGGAUCCCAUGUCUGACGAAGAGAAGACGAGGAAGGGAAAGAAGAACGGCAACGGCAAGGGUCACCAGCAUAACCCGACAAAUCAAGGAGGUAAUAAACGCAAGGCUGACGAGUUUGUGGCUAACACCAAUGCACAUGGCAACAACCAAUGGCGCAAGGGGAGGCCACCUCCUCGGUCAGGCGGAUCAGGUCCCACCCUCGAGCAACUACUAAAUGAACCCUGUCCGGGACAUGGCACCCGGGAGAAGCCGGCUACCCAUCUGUGGAAGGAUUGUACGAUCAUGAAGGCUUUUAAGAAUUCUAACAUGUUUGAUGGUAACCACGGGCCUGCUGGCGGCUCAGGCGGUGGCGGUUUUCAUGGCCAAGGCCAUCCGGGUAGUCAAGGCGAUUAUAGUCAGCAAUCCGGCCAGGGCAGUCAGCAACAGCAGCAACAGCCCGUGUAUCAGAGUAACCCAAAACAGCUGAACAGUGGACAGUACCAUGUGUUUACCACCAGUUUGUGCAAGAGGGACCAGAAGCUUCAGAAGAGGGAUGUAAAUGCUAUUGAGCCGGCGGUUCCACGUUAUUUGAGAUGGUCUGAACAACCUAUUCUGUGGAGUAGGGAAGAUCACCCACCCCGGGUUGAUAAUCCGGGUCAUCUGGCUUUGGUGGUGGCGCCUCAGGUUGGUGGAUAUAAGUUCACUAAAGUGCUCAUGGACGGAGGCAGUAGCAUCAACGUCCUCUAUUAUGAGACGUUCUGUCGCAUGGGGUUGACUGAUAAGAGUCUUAAAACAUCCAACACUGUUUUUAUGGGGUAGUGCCUGGUAAGUCGGCGUACCCAGUUGGUAAAAUUGAGCUGGAAGUGGCCUUUGGAGAUGAGUAUGAUUCUAGGGCUGAGAAGCUAACUUUUGAAGUGGUUAAAAUCAAGAGCCCAUAUCACGCUCUGUUUGGACGGCCGGCUUAUGCUAAGUUCAUGGCCCGGCCGUGUUAUGUGUAUUUGCAGCUCAAAAUGUUGGGUUAUAAAGGCACUAUCAUAGUACAUGGAAGCCGGAAAAUAGCCCUGGAAUGUGAAGAAGGUGAUGCUGCAUAUGCCGAGUCUGUUUGUGCAACAGAGGAAUUGAAGUUUUAUAAGGAUAAUGUUGACCCGGCAAACAUGGCGUCUUUGAAGAAGCCAACUACGGAGCAUGAGCCGGCAUUGAAAUUCAAGUCCGCUGAUGACACCAAGAUGAUUGAUUUCGUGUCUGGCGACUCAUCCAGACACUUCAUUAUCAGUGCUAACUUGGAUCCAAAAUAGGAAAGCGUGCUCAUCGAGUUCAUCCAUGAGAACCGGGACAUCAUUGCAUGGAAGCCUUCUGACAUGCCGGGUGUUCCGAGAGAACUCGUUGAGCACACUCUCAAUAUUCAUCCAAAGUUUAAGAUGGUCGGGCAAUUUCUUCGGCGGUUUAACGAGGAAAGGUGCAAGGCCAUUGGAGAAGAGGUGGCCCGGCUCUUGGCGGCCGGGUUCAUUGUUGAAGUUUUUCACCCAGAGUGGUUGGCUAACUCGGUGCUUGUGCUUAAAAAGAACGGCACCUGGCGCAUGUGUGUGGAUUACACAAAUUUAAACAAGGCUCGUCCAGCUGAUCCUUUUGCUCUCCCUCGUAUUGAUCAAAUCAUUGAUGCUACGGAGGGUUGUGAGCGUUUGAGUUUUCUGGAUGCUUAUUCGGGUUAUCAUCAGAUCAAGAUGGCAGUUAAGGACCAGGAGAAAACAGCUUUCAUCACUCCGUUUGGAGCCUUCUGCUAUGUGUCUAUGCCUUUUGGGCUCAAGAGUGCCCACGCGACUUAUCAGCGGUGUGUACAAAAUUGCCUUCAUAAUCAGAUUGGGUGUAAUGUUCAUGCUUAUGUGGAUGAUAUAGUGGUGAAAUCCAGAGAGAAGGAAACCUUAGUAGCUGAUCUAAAGGAAACCUUUGGUAACCUCCGGGUCUACAAGAUGAUGCUUAACCCGGCCAAGUGUGUUUUUGGAGUCCCAGCUGGCAAGCUCUUGGGUUUUUUGGUGUCUAAUGGAGGCAUUGAGGCUAACUCGGAGAAAAUAAAGGCAACCACGUCUUUGGCUAAACCGGCAUGCAUCAAUGACGUUCAGCGGCUGGCGGGCCGUGUCGCAGCUUUAAGCCGGUUUAUAAGUCGGUUGGGCGAGAAGGCUAUGCCAUUGUAUCAAAUGAUGAAAAAGGUGGAUGACUUUGUAUGGAGUGACGCUGCUGAUUCCGCUUUUGAAGGUUUGAAAAGACAGCUUGCUGGGCCACCUAUUCUUGCUGCCCCCGUUGAGAAGGAGCCGCUAUUGUUAUAUGUGGCUGCUAACUCACAAGCCGUCGGCAUGGCCAUUAUUGUGGAGCGCAAGGAGGUUGGCAAGGAACAUCCAGUUCAAUGGCCGGUUUACUACGUCAGUGAGGUGCUCAUUGGAUCCAAGAAAAGAUACCCACAUUAGCAAAAACUUGUUUAUGGGGUGUUCAUGGCAAGCCGGAAGCUUAAGCAUUACUUCCAGGGUCAUCCUAUCACUGUGGUUAGCUCUGCUCCUUUAGGAGAUAUUAUUUAGAACAGAGAAGCCACAGGACGAGUCGCCAAGUGGGCCAUUGAGCUUGGGGUCUCAUAAUAUAAAGUAUGUGCCACGUACGGCUAUUAAGUCUCAAGCACUGGUGGACUUCAUUAAUGAUUGGACGGAGUUACAGACACCUGAAGAGAAGCCAGACAACACAUAUUGGACGAUUCAUUUCGAUGGGUCCAGGCAGUUGGAAGGCUCGGGGGCUGGAGUUGUGUUAACUUCUCCUCGAGGUGACAAGUUUUGUUAUGUGUUGCGAUUGAUGUUUCCUUGUACUAACAAUGCAGCAGAAUAUGGGGCCUUGCUCCAUGGUCUUCGAAUGGCUAAAGAGAUGAGUUUAAGACGGGUACGGUGCCUUGGCGACUCAGAUUUGGUGGCUCGGCAGGUGUCAGGCAAGUGGGAUUCCAAGGACCCUCUCAUGGCGGCUUAUCGCCGGGAAGUUGAUGAUGUUGUUGGACAUUUCAAAGGUUAUCAGGUGGAGCACAUUGACCGCAGAAAAAACAAAGCGGCUGAUGCUUUAAGCCGGUUGGGAUCACAGCGUAAGCUGGUGCCACCUAACACUUUUCUAGAUGUUCUUCAAAACCCUUCUGUCAAACUGCCUACAGAGGAAGAUUUGGUCAUUCCAGACCCGGAGGCACAGUUAGUAGCGGCUCUUCAUGUUAUUCCAGAUUGGACAUUACCGUAUUUGGCUUACAUGACCCGGGGUGAGUUGCCAGAGGAUGAGACCUUGGCUCGACAGAUAACCCGACGGUCUAAGUCAAUGACAAUUUCCAAUGGUGAGUUGUAUCAUCGCAGCGUCACUGGAGUGUUUCAACGUUGUGUCUCUCCCGAAGAAGGUCAAGAAAUUCUUCGUGAGAUCCAUGAAGGGGAUUGUGGUCAUCACGCUGGUUCAAAGUCUCUUGUGGCUAAAGCUUUUCGUCAUUGUUUUUACUGGCUAACGGCUCACGCUGAUGCAGAGGAUCUGGUCAGUAGGUGUGAUGGGUGUCAAAAAUUUGCACGACGAGCGCACGUGCCGGCUUAAGAAUUGCGGAUGAUUCCAAUCACUUGGCCGUUUGCAGUCUGGGGGCUUGACAUGGUUGGACCUUUUAAAAGAUCCAAGGAUAAAAAGACACAUCUUUUGGUGGUAGUUCACAAAUUUACAAAAUGGGUUGAGGCAGAGCCGGUUAGUAAGUGUGAUGCAGCCACGAUGGUUCAGUUCAUGAAAAAGGUGAUCUUUCGUUUUGGCUUUCCACAUAGCAUUAUAACUGACAAUGGUACUAAUCUGUCCAAAGGCAACAUGGAGGAGUUUUGUCAAUGUGAGCAUAUCCGGCUUGAUGUUUUGUCUGUAGCUCACCCCCAAUCCAAUGGUCAAGCUGAGAGAGCAAAUCAGGAAAUCCUAAAAGGUCUCAAGCCCGACUUAUGGUUCGUUUACAACGGACGCCGGGUUGUUGGGUGGAGGAAUUACCCUCGGUGCUGUGGAGUAUCAAUACCACUCCUAACAGAUCUACAGGUUAUACACCUUUCUUCAUGGUUUAUGGAGCAGAAGCAGUUCUGCCUAGUGACAUCCGUCAUGACUCACCUCGCGUGGCGGCCUAUGUUGAAGCUGAUAAUGAACAAGCCCGACAGGAUGCACUUGACUUGUUAGAUGAGGAGAGAGAUUUGGCAGUGGCUCAAUCAGCAAUUUAUCAACAAGACUUGCGCCGUUAUCACAGCCGCCGGGUUAAGUCCAGAACCUUUCAAGAAGGUGACCUAGUGCUCCGGCUCAUCCAGGAUCUGUCUGAUGCACACAAGCUAUCCCCGCCUUGGGAAGGACCCUUUGUGGUCAACAAGAACUUAAACAAUGGGUCAUAUUACCUCAUUGAUGUUCGAGAGCACAAAGACCCACGUAAGUCGGAGGAGGAGACCCGCCGGCCGUGGAACAUCGCUCAGCUUCGGCCAUACUACACUUAAACCAUCGGCUCUCAUCAUGUACAUACUUUGACGUUGUAUAUAAUAUGAUAAGUAAUAAAGCAGGACCUCUGUCCUUUUUCCCCUUCAAUGAUCAUAUAUCUUUAUUAUUUUCAUUAUUUAAAAUGACCAUUAGGGGGCUGAUCGUAUCCGAAUCUAGCUUAACCCUUUUGGUCCGGCUCAUGAUCGUAUUCGAAUCUAGCCGUAAAACUCAUGGUCACUUGGGGGCUUCCUGUUCAAACAUAGGUCGUAUUCGAACCAAAGAGAACAUAGCUGUCGUAACCCUCUUGAUCGGCUCAAAGCCAAACUCACUAGGGGGCUUCUUGAUCGUAUCUGAAUCAUAGCUUAACCCCUUUUUGGGUCCAACUUGGAUCGUAUUCGAAUCAGGGUCGUUAAAAACCUCUCAAGGUCAUUUGGGGGCUUCCUAUUCAAACAUAGGUCGUAUUCGAACCAAAGAGAACAUAGCUGUCGGUACCCUCUUGAUCGGCGCAACGCCAAAGCCACUGGGGGCUAUAUGAUCGUAUCCGAAUCUUAGCUUAACCCCUUUGGUCCGGUUUACUGAUCGUAUUCGAAUUAGAAGCCUCCAGUUUUUAUUUAAAUGUUUGAUUUACAUUGUCUGAAGCCUAGUGUUUUAUCUUACUAUUUUUAUCGUCUCAAAUCUAACUGUUAGUAUGGUUUCAAAUUAAACCGGCUUGGCUAUUUGACAAUGUGUCGCCAAGGCAUAACAGUCAUCAGACAUAUGGAAGUAUUGACUUCUAAAAAAGAUUGGGUUAUCAACCUCAUCAUCCGGGUCAUGUAAACCGACAGUCCAUGUUCAAAAACCACAGGUAUGACAGUGUCAUUCAUGAACAGACUUCCCUGGGUUUUUCGUCAGUCAAAGGAUUUUUCAGCCUUGUUUAUCUUACAUCUGGUUCUAUUUUUUCCACUAUGAUAAUUUCAUAAUCAUGUACCGGGUGUUUUGACCCGUCCGGUGCUAAGCCACCGGGACAGUUUUUUUCAUCUUUUACAGGAACAGAGUUAAAACAUUACAGAUGUAACCACGAUGUAAUGCAUAUAUAUAUUGACAUCAUGGGCAAAGAGUCAUAUGAAACAUCUUAUGCACGAUGGCAUAGGCAAAAUAUGCAAUUUUCAAACUAACCUAUUACAAGGCAUUGAGAGCCCAAAAGGUUAAACGGUUUUCUCUCUUAAGCAGGUCUUAAGCUAAAAACUGGAUUGUUCAGAUGGUUAUGACUCCUCCCUGGCCGUUUCACCUCCCUCCACUGGUUGGAAGCUGGGAUUGGACCAGUCAAAGCCGUUCAGAGCAAUGAACUCAGCCUCAUCGUCAAUUAGGCCGGCCGGGUCAAUUUGCAGGGCAAAAGUGUGUUGACGAACCGGCGGGAUAAGAUCCAUCACUUUAUAAGAGGGAGUCGCCAUCUUUUUAUUCUCCAUAUCAAAACCCGACUGAUAUUUUUCGAUGUUGGUCUCCUCACCAAGAAUGGUAGCCUGAGGACGAACUCCCCUCACACAAGCAAUAAAGUCAUCUUGCUCAAACGGAGUCCCGUCUUCCUUCAUGGUAGGGUACCCCUUAGCCACGUCCACCGGGUGUAAAUCGGGCACCCAGGCUUUGGAGCGGCUCAGGGCAGUCAGGGCUCCGACUCUGGCACAAGAUCGUUUGACCUCUUGAAAUCUGGCGGGUAAGAUCGAUAACUUCUUCAAAACAUCACUUAAACGGUUGGGUCCUUGGUUGGCAGGGGAUAUAUAUAGUAGAAAGUGCUCGUUGAGCACCAGUGUACAGUUGCUCCACCAAGGUAUAAACCGCCUUCAGUUUUGUCACACUAUCUUGACUCAGAUAUUUUACUUCGUGGACCUGUGAGUACUUUUUAACAAAGGCUCAGCAGGCGGCUUAUAUUUCUGGUUAAAAUAAAGUAUAAGUGACUAAUGCAAAUGACUUACCAAAGAUGGCGGAGACCAUUUGAUACACACGGUUUUUUAAGCCGGUGAGCUCCAUGGUAACCUCCUCAAGAGUCGCCUCUGCUGUCUUGGCACGUUGUGUCAGCAAGGUCUUCUCAUCGGCCCAGGAUUUCUUCUUCUCAGUCACACUGGUCUUCAAUUUUUCAGUUUUAGAGAGACUCAAUUGGAGUUUGGAGUUAGCAGUCUUUAUCUCCGCUUCUUGAUCCGCCAGCCGGGUCUUUGCAUCCGUCAAUUGAGAUCCCAAUUCAGUUAGGGCGGUCUACAAACAUGCAUAGGUGUGUCAAAAUUUAAACACAAGUUAUAUUGAUUAAAGUCGCGAGUGCUUUGCAACGCAACACCACUUGGCACUUGGGGGCUAAUGUCUGCCAAAGCAAUUUUAUGCAAAAUGACUCUUCUAUGUUUCAAGUCCCAAGUGUUUUACAAAGUAACAACGCUUGGCACUUGGGGGCUAAUGCAUGAUAUUCAGAAAGUUUUUCAAGAUGAGCCGGAUCACACUACUUAUUUGGACUAAUCUAAGACAGUUAUGAAGUUAAGUACCGGGUCAUUUAUGAUAAAUUGAGCCGGCCCUUGGGGACUACAUGUGAAGUUUAUACUAAUCCGUUGAACUUAGGAAAAAUCUAAAGACAAGGUAUCAACCUAUAUCAUAAGUCUACAGAUCAUUCAGGUUCAUCAUAAUCUGAAGACUUGGGGGCUGGCAGAGUAUAUAUAAACCGGAGAACGUACCUCAUAUUCUGUAACAUCCCAAAUUUUCAAUUUGGAAUGUUACACGUUAGGUCAUCAUGCAUAUCAUAUUUUAUUUUUCUUUUGGUUUUGAUCCUAGAAAAUCCUAAGCAACUCAAGGACCCACGGAGAGAGUUGGGGAUUUCAUUAUUUACAUAUUUGAGUUUUCUCAAAUUAUGUAAACAGGAUCAUUUGAUUUUAUUUAUUCUAUCAUCAAUUAUUUCUAUUACAAAAAUAUGAGAGAGGGAAUAAAAUGACUUUUCCAAAAUAUAGAAAUAUUGAGGAUUUAAUAAAAAAUCAAAUAAGUUUUAUUUCGGAGUUUUUUGGUAUUUUUAUUUGAAUUUAGGAAAAAUGCGCGUUUUUCAAAUUGUAGUUUGGGCCCAGAUAAAUGUUCACUUUAUCGGGCUUGAUUUUAGGAACCCGGCAAAAUUUAUUUCGUGAUUUUUGGAGUCCGUUUAGUAUUUCUUUUUAUUUUUCUUCCGAGCGGAUUUAAAAAAAAACUAGAACCGACUCCGUGCCGUAACCGGCCAGGAAACCUCCGCCCGGGGCCUUUAUAUAGCGCCCGAACCGGCCGAGAGAGAGAGAGAGGCCCGAAGCCAGCUAACCCUAACCCUAGCUAAGCCGCCGCCGCCUCCCAGCCGUCGCCGCCCGCCGCUGCCGACUCGCCGGAGCGCGCGCCUUUCGAGGUUCGCCGCCGCCUCGUUUUCCGUGAAGUUUUUUUUUAAAAAAAAAAUCUGUUCGUCGUUUUUCUUUUUCGUCGGAUUUUCCGCGGUUAUUUUCUGAUCGCGAUUUCUGAUCCGGUUUUCGUUUUAGUAUAACUUUUCGCUCGUUUAUCGGAAUCAGGCGAUUCAAGCGCCUGGAGUUUCGUCUCGAAACCCUCUUUCCGAAUAAUCAACUUAAACAAGUUUUUGCUACUGUAAAAUUUGCCCUAGAUCCAGAUUACUAGAAGGAAGUUGUUUUUUUUGCCGUUUGAUUUCUUUCGCUUCGUUCGAUUUGAUUCUUUUGCCAACCAGGGUUCUUAAGUUGAACUUUCUGGUUAGAUCUUCUAUUUGAGUUUUACUUGUGCAUUAGAUGAGUACUUAUUGUAUGCUUGAUGUUUGUCUGUGAUAGAAUACCCGGAGUGCGCCGCCUGUUACUUCGAAUCUCUAGGUUUCGCGGAUCAUCAGCAAGGCAAGUAACACUUUGAUCAUACCUUUUCUACAACCCAGUUUUAUUGCAUUAGAUCAAUCCUCACACAUUGCAUGAUUAGGAUCUAAUUAAAUUGUGGGAUGGGAAGUAGAUGAGGUAGUACCUAUUACCUGUUUAUUAUCAAACCUUUGGGAGUUACUUCUACGUUUGCUUAUGCCAUGUUAUGCCGGUAGACGUGGAUUGGGUGAGUGAUAUCCAUGACAGAUGUGAGAUUUAUAAUUAAGGGUUAUCUAAGGUGGCAACCUAACACACAUCUGGGUGGAUUGAGGCACCUGGGGUUACCAGGACUUGCCUGUUUUCUUUUGGACCGCCACCCAGGCCCAAAGGGAUCAUGAGAUUUUUCAUACUAGAAACUUCCGUGUGCAGCCACAAGCCAUUAUGGGCUCUGGCAUAGUUGACUAAGUUGUGCGAACUCUUACAGUGGUAGACUAGCAGAUGUAGGGGAAAGUAGGUGUACCGGUCUACCCGUCGUAAGGUGCUAGCGCUUCUGAAAGACUGUGUCUCGGUCAUCCGUUUCUCAAACACCUUGUAGUGCGAGAAACCAAACGGAGGUGAUCGAGUCUUGUGGGGAAAAGUGCGCAAACCUCUGCAGAGUGUAACAAACUAAUCAUGGUUAGCCGUGUCCCUGAUUAUGGACAUCUUGAGUAUCUAUUACCUGGAUUAUCAUGUGAAUCUCAACAUGUUACUCUAAAAUUAAUUUUGUGGGAUUUUAAUGAUGUUACUUAAUUGGGAUUGAGGAUGCUGUCAACCAUUCUCAAUGUUUAACAACCACCAUGAUAGUAAUUAAUUUUAUUCCUUUGAAGUAGGGAAAAAUUGGCUUUACGCAAAAACUGUAACCAUAGAGCUUUCCACCAGCCAAAUAUGCAUAUAGUAUAGUUGUUGCAUUCCAUUACUCUCUAUGUGUUACCUUGCCAGCAUAUUCCAUGUGCUGACCCGUUUCGGGCUGCAACGUUAAUGUUGCAGACUUUUCAGAUGACGAUUGAGGAAUUUUAGGUCGUGGUUCUAUACUCAGUGAUGCCGUUGGAGUUGAUGGACUCACUUAUCUUCCAAGCCUUCCGCUGUUAUCGUUAUUAGAUGGCCUUAAGCCAUAUUUAUUGUAAUAAGUUCUCUUUUGAGACACUCGAUGUAAUAAGUGUGUGAUUGCUACUCUGCUAUAAAUCCUCCGAGUACUGUGUGGUGUCAGCAUUACUGAUCCAAGGAUGACAUCGGAGCACAGAGAUCAGACUGUUUAAGGUCUGGUCGCUACAUAUUCCAGUUGCAAUUGCUUGACCAUCUCAAUUUCCGAGUCACGGCUGGAAUGCACAGGACUGAGAUAGCCGGACAGCAUGUCACUAACAUUCAGAUGAGCAUAGUGAGAGAUAUCAAAUUGUACUUUCUGUCUUUCCAAGGCCUCCUGUUUAGCAGAAUGCCUGGCCAGCACAGUCGGAUUACCCGGCGCAACAAAUCUGCUGCCAGUGAUCAAAACGUCAUGGUCAGAAGAUGCUGGCAGGUUAGCUGAACCGGACGGUCUGACGGUGGAUGGAUCGACAAUGGUUUCGUCAGCUGACGGCUCAGGAGGGUCCAAUUGAGCAUGGACAGCUAAAUCUUCUGGCGCUUCAGAUUGAGUGGGAGGAGUUGAUGUUGCCAGUUCAGGUGCAGGAUUUUUUGGGUCCUCUGCCGGUUUAAUCACCUUGGCUUUCUUGGACUUUGCUUGACCGCUAAGAAAGAUUUUUAUGAAAUAGUUAGUAUAAUGAUGCAGUUUUAAAAAUGUAGAGGAAAGAUGAUUUUCCUUACCCAUGGGCAGUCUUGAAAGCCGGAAAUUGAGUUUGGGAUGAGUCGCCAGAAGAGCGAGAGACCUCCUGCAAAGGUAAAAUAAAGUUAAGAAUAUAAGGAAAUAAAUUCAUGGAUAAAAACAAAGGACAAAGGUGAAAGAAACCUCAUUCUGGCGUUUUUGAGGAGUUUUUUCUAAGUCGAAAGGUGGUUCAUCAUCAUCAUUAGUCCGGGCCAGAUGGCGGCUCUCAUGUUGCUGCUUUUUCAAAAGAAAAUGAGGGUCCAAAUAAGCCAAAGGGUGCAAAAACCUUACUUUCCGGGUUACCAGUCGAAGUUUCUGUCUCGGCAAAGGGGCUGAGUCGUAGGAAAUAGUUACCUCUUCUUCCGCGGCCUGGCUGGCCCCCGUGUCAUCCUGGCAAUAGUCAGUGUCAAUAAGAUAGUUGAAAAUUUGGCCAAGGGAGAAAGGGCUACCUCCGACUCAGAAACAUCAUCAAGCUGGAAGAUGUCAGAUGCAGUCUUCUUCUUGGGCUUCCGGGUCGUUCUCUUGGCGGCUACGGCAGCGGAUCUAGCCUUCUUGGUAGCUUCAUGAUCAUACUUGGCCUUCCAGAAGUCAGAUUUGUCCUGUAAACAAAUAAAGAGGUUAAAAGGUCAUGCAAGUAUUUAAACUACUGAGGUAAACACAAAAAGAGAAAAAGGUCAAGAAGUUACCUCUGGUGUCGGGUUAAGUUUGCAGAAGGGGUUUAAUCCAACCUUGCUGUAGUCCUCGUAUUUGCCAUUCACGAGGAUGGUAGACAUUGCAACAAUGUCUUCUUCAGUUAAUUGUACAGAGCUAUAACGCAGAGAAUCAUUUGGGCCUCCGCCAUACUUAUACAUCAACUUGGAUCGGCGGCUUAGAGGGAUGACCCGCCAUGAGAUCCAGCAAUGGAUCAGGUCAACUCCGGUUAAGCCAUUUCCCAAUAAAGCUUGAAUCCUUUUGACAGAUGGGAUAAGCUUCUUGCGUUCAGCAGUAGUAAGCUUGUCAGGGAGCACAAACUUGGAAUCAAGACGCUCUUCACGAUAACCCGGCAGUGGUUUUUCAUCAGCCGGUGAUGUAUCUUGGCAGUAGAACCAGGUUUGCUUCCAGUCUUUGGGAUGGCUCGGUAAGACCACUAAAGGAAAAACGGCACCUUGUCAGCGUUGAAUUGAAAUUCUGCCAAGUUCCAAGCUAAGGCCGUUGGUGCACUCAUUCUGGCGGUUCAAGUAAAAGUACUCUCUAAAGAGCUCCACAGUUGGUUCUUCUUGAAGAUAUACCUCACAAAGAACUUGAAAAUUGCAGAUGUUGGAUAUAGGGUUGGGUCCAAUAUCUUGUGGAUGAAGCUUGAAAAAAUGCAGGACAUCUUGGACGAACUUUGAGCCGGGUGGUGAGAAGCCCCGGUUCAUGUGAUCUGUGAAAACGAUAACUUCGCCGUCUUUGGACUAAGGUCGUUCUUCGUCCGGGUCAGGAGCACGAUAAGACAUAACGCUUUUCUCUGGCAAAAAUCCAAUGGUGACAAAUUAUUUCAAGGUAUCUUCAGUAACUGUGGAAGGCACCCGGUUGCAGACAGUUGGCGCUUUUGACGGCAUGAUGAAGAAAGGGCAAGCUGAAAAGAAAGUAAUUUGCCGGUUCAAUUUAUUGGUGGAGUUACAGGUUCAUGAUUAUAGUACAGAUGAGUAAUGGCGGCUUAAGUAAGGGCUAAUGACAUGUAAAGGAAAAAUAAGCCGGAGUCAUAAGCCGCCAUGACUAAAAAGUAUUUGAAGGUUGCCAGAAUCAAAAUUGACUAAAGUGUUGAGACAAACAGGUUUCCCAAGUUGUGGCUAUUAUUAUGGAUCAAAAUGGUUCAGAAAAUAAAAAUAAAGUUAGACCUAGAAAACGAGCACAGAGGAGUUUGUCAGCUCUAAAGAGGCAUUUAUACAGGAGAAGGGGAUCUGUUAGCUUCAAAAAUGGAUGAGAAAUAGCUACCUCAUAAGUUUUGUACUACUUUUAGAUCAAAAGAGGGUGCGGUAAGAGAAGUUGCAACGAAUCUAUGACGAACAACGAAGAACACAAGAAGGAAACCUCCCGAACCCUAAUGCAGAUCUAUGGGGGUGAGAAGGUGAGAGCUUACAGGUGCGGAGCUGCUGCGGAGGAUCGCCACCGUUCUCUGGAUAGACUCAGGGUGAUGCUGCGGCCAGAGUUGAGGACGACGGUGCGCUACGGUGGCGACGGAGCUCGAGCGGCAAAGAAGGUGCGAGAGGAAGAAGAAAGAGGAAGGACUGGCCGAGCCUAUUUAUAAGGGGGUAAGUGAACGGGCAGACGCAAAAAUUGAGGAAGACCAAAGUAAUGAUUAUCCAGCUAAAUGGACGCCUCGAUCUUCGGAAAACAUUUAAGAUAAGGAUCCGUUGAAGAUGAAAUCGUGGUGUUUUUCCAAAUUUUUUCAAUCCUAAUGGUUGGUUAAUAAAAUAAGCUCAGUGAAUAUACAAGGCGAUAGUUUAUUAUAAGACUUGUAGUAGGCCCAAGCCCAAAGGCGGUUUAAGGCCCAUAAUUGUAAACCGCCAUGUAUAAGAAAGACUUGUAAAGAAAGGCAUGUAAGAGAAGUCACCGAGCCGAACACGUUAUAUGAGCCGGCCGGGACUCUGUAGGCUGCCAGGCGUCAACCCAUGUAUAUAAGGGGAUGACCCGGUGGCUGCUUAGGACAAGUAACAUCAAAUCAAGAGCCAUGCAUAGCGUAUUUGCUCCCUGAUCAUCGAAACCUAGCAAUAUCACAUCAACUGGACUAGGCUUUACCUUCACCGUAAGGGGCCGAACCAGUAUAAACCUUUCGUGUCCUUUGUCCCGAUUAACCCCUUUAAGCUUCCUAGUUGCGAUGGCUCCACGGCUAAGUCCUUUCACUAGGACAUCAUCCGUGACAAUUCCACGACAACUCUGGUGCGGAUCUUACUAUGGUUGACCUACGAGGUUCAGCGGUAACUUGAUCUGAAGUUUCAUGAUCAUCAUCAUUAGCUUCCUCACUAAUUGGUGUAGGAAUCACUGGAACUAAUUUCUGUGAUGAACUACUUACCAAUUCGGGAGCAGGUACAAUUGCCUCAUCAAGUUCUACUUUCCUCCCACUCACUUCUUUCGAGAGAAAGUCCUUCUCUAGAAAGGAUCCUUUCUUAGCAACGAAUAUAUUGCCUUCGGAUCUGUGAUAGAAGGUGUACCCAACAGUCUCCUUUGGGUAUCCUAUGAAGACACAUUUCUAUGAUUUGGGUUCGAGCUUAUCAGGUUGAAGCUUUUUCACAUAAGCAUCACAGCCCCAAACUUUAAGAAACGACAACUUAGGUUUCUUGCCAAACCACAGUUCAUAUGGUAUCAUCUCAACGGAUUUAGAUGGUGCCCUAUUUAAAGUGAAUGCAGUCUGAAAGUGCGUUAUAUCGACUAGAGGGGGGGUGAAUAGGCGAUUUUUAUGAAAGUCUUCAAAACAUGGAAGUUUCGAAGACAAACGAUAGAAAUAAACCUAUUACCAUGCAGUGGAAGUUAGACUACACUAGAUAAACCGUAGUCAUGUAUUCAAUGAAGUGAAAGGACAAUGACUAAUAGUAGCUAGGUAGUAAGGAUCAGGCAGGAAGAUAUUAAGAAGCCAAACGGAUCACACAGUCACUCAGUGAAGACAAAAGAUAGAGAAAACAUACAAUGACUUCACACAGAGUAACAGUAAGUAAAGAGAAGGGAAGGAUGAAACCAGUGACUCGUUGAAGACAAAGAUUUGUUGGACCAGUUCCAGUUGCUGUGACAACUGUACGUCUGGUUAGGGCGGCUAGGUAUUUAAACCAAAGGACACACAGUCCCGGACACCCAGUCCUGAACACGCAGCUCAGGACAUCCAGUCCUCACCGUAUUCCCCUUGAGCUAAGGUCACACAGACCUCGCCCAAUCACUCUGGUAAGUCUUCAAGGUAGACUCCCAAACCUUCACAGACUUCGUUCACCGGCAAUCCACAAUGUCUCUUGGAUGCUCAGAACGCGAUGCCUAACCAGCUGGAGGAUGCACAGUCCUCAAGUGUAAUAAGUCUUCAGAUCACUCAGACAAGAAGACUUAAGUGAUGCCUAAUUCUCUUUCGCUCUGGGUGGUUAGGGCUUUAUCCUCGCAAGGAAUUCUCUCUCAAAGGCUUCGAGGUGGGUUGCUCUCAAACGACAAAAGCCGUACUUUGAAUCUGAGUAGCCAACCGUUUAUGGUUGUAGGGGGUGGGCUAUUUAUAGCCACUAGGCAACCCGACCUGAUUUGUCCGAAAUGACCCUGGGUCACUAAGGAACUAACAUGUGUUCCAACGGUCAAAUUUCAAACUCACACGGAAACUUUACUUGGGCUACAAGCAAAGCUGACUUGUCCGACUCUGGACAAGAUUUUCUCUCAUAGUCUUCACUCGAAGACAUAGGUUUUUGUUUAAGCAUCACUUUAGUCAUUCUGACUGGCUCUCUUGGACCCCACUUAACAGUAUGUUGGUUCCUAUGACUCAACACAGAAGAAAAAGAACUACGAAAAAUCUAAGUGUUCAAGCUCCAUAGGCUUCAUGCGGUGUCUUCUCUUGUCAUAGUCUUCAAUGUGAAUAUCUUCAUAUACCACCUUUGACAUCAAUGUCUUCAUACACUUUUAGGGGUCAUCUCUGGUGGGAAAACCGAAUCAAUGAGGUACUUCUACCUGUGUUAUCCUGCAAUUCUCACAAACACAUUAGUCCCUCAACUAGGUUUGUCGUCAAUACUCCAAAACCAACUAGGGGUGGCACUAGAUGCACUUACAAUCUCCCCCCUUUUGGUGAUUGAUGACAAACUAGUUGAAGUUUUCAACGGGGAAUAUAAUGUGUGAAAUUGUAAAGGAUAAGGAAUUGUCUUCAUAAGUUACAAGGGCUCCCCCUGAAGAUGUGCAUAUAAGUAAUUUGCUUUUGGAAUGCAAAUGCACAUGGCAGGUUGUGCUUGUGGAGAUCCACUUCAACUUAUGAUGACAAUCCACUAUGCAUGUGAAAGUAUGUGAAGAUAAUGACAUGCAUAAUGGAAAAUGGAUGUCUGCAGAAUGAUCUAAGUGCGGAAUCUAUCAUCGCACAUGCGGAAUUUAUCAUCACAACACAAGGUAGCAAAUAGGUAGCAGACGACCAUCAAGUUUAAGUGUUACAACUCAAAGAACCAAAUGUUUCAAAACGAGAGUUGUAAGCACGAAGCAAAAUAUAAAACACCCGCCCAUAUGGACCCAUUUGAAGACUAUCAAACUCAUAUGCUUCUCCCCCUUUUGACAGUAAGGACCAAAAAGGUUUGAAGACAUAGAGCCUCUACUCGUUCCCAUGAGGAGUAGGUGAAGCAGCAGGAUCGUUGAUGGUGUUUGGCAGUGCAGACGAGCUUGGAGCAGUGUCGACGUGUGCUGAAGGAGGCGGCGAAGAAGUAGCAUCGUCUUCAUCCUCGAUCACUCUGGCAUUCACGGUUGCAGUAGAGGAAGAGAACUCAGGGUCUUCAAGUGAUGGAGUUCGUCGCAGCACAGCCCUGCGAGGAGGUGUGGAGUCAAACUUGAAGCGCUCAGUGAAGCCAUCCUCUUGCAGAUCAUCUUCAGAACACAGCAGCGUCAGCCCUUUCCAUGUGCGUCGAGAUGUUUCAUGAGCAACAAAGGCGUUCUUGGUGGCAAGAUUGUGAAUGCGAUUAACAUCCACCAAGAGGCUUUGCAUUUGACGCUUUAGCCAGUCAUGAUGCCUAUCCUGUUUCUGAUGAAGGGCCACCAGAAGCUCUCGGUCAUUGAGGACACGAGUGCGCUUCUUGGGUCGUUGAGCAAUGGUGCUAUCAGUGGCUUCAGUAAGAGCAGGAUGCGGGGCACGGGUAGUGCCAGCCAAAGGAUACACACGUGUUACUGCUUCAAUGCCUUCAACGUUCCGAGAGAAACUUUGAUGCUCUGCAUUCUGAAGACUUAGAGGUUCCUUGGCAGGCUCAGGAUAUAUGGCUUCAAUAGACAUAUCCACAUCAGGCAAAAAGAUCCGAUGAUUGCGGGCAGAUGGCUGAUAUGAGAUAGCAGAGUGAAGUUUGAUCAGCCGCAUCACCCAAGGGGCGUAGAACUUCAACCCAAAUAGAUCAGAGCCAGAUGCAGCAAGUUGGCGAAUGAAGAAAUCCUAUGUAUUGAAGCAUUUUCCAUGAAGAAUAUAGAAGACCAAAGUCUUCAUUGCACCUUCCAGCUGGGCAUGGGGAGAAUGUCCUUUGAUUGGCCAGAGAGUUCGCCUUAUGAUAUGAUAAAUGGUCCUUGGCAGAUACUCAAGGUCUUCAACAAAGAACUCCGUGGGAUAAGCAGCAUCUUGGGGCAAUGGCUUCAUCAUACUGAGCAUCUGACUCAUAUUGGGUUCAGUCUUCUGAAAGAUGCUCUCAACAGCUUCAAUGUGAAGCUGACAGCCAUGCUCAUAGAGAUCGCCAGGAGUGGGCAAGCCAGUGAGCUCAAUGAUGUCAAAGACUUUGGCUUCGUGAUGAACAUUUCCAGUCAUCCACUCUAGGACCCAAGUCUUUGGAUCUCUGUUAUACCCGCGGAUGUGAAGUGUGGCAUAGAACUGGAGCAGCAACUCUUCAUUCCAAUGCUCUUGGUCAGUGACGAAUGGUAGCAGCCCAACUUCAUUGAAGCAAUCCAAAGCUUCUUCCAGACAGGCAGACCAGCUAUAGCUUCAAUGUCAAGGCGCUUGUGUGGGAAGAUGCGACCUUUGUUGUAAAGAAUGCAUGAGUAAUAGCUUCGCUGCUGAUAGCUCCAGAACCGAUCAGAUGAUAUUCUUUCCCUGGAGUAGGGGUUCCUGGAGCUAUUGAAGAAUGUGUUGUCUGCUCUGAAGCCAUUGAUGUUAAAGGAGCCAGGUGCUAAUGCAGGACCUGGGAACCUGGGCAAUCUUGGGAUUGGCUUCUGGACCUGAGGCCUGUGCUCAACAUGAUAGUCGAAUUGGGGACCGGCAGCAGACGCAGGAACAGGAGCAGCAGGAUUAGUGGCUUCGCUGACUUCUGGUGCUGUUGGGGGUGAGGGCUCCACAUUAGCUUCAGCCAUGACGGUGUCAGUGGCUUCAGUGGUGUUGGUGGUGGCAGCCUCUAGAUUUUCAACCUCCACUUGACGAGCUGGAGGGUCGGUCAUGAUCACGUUCUCCUCGAGAACCGCUUCUUGGUGGGGCAGGGGAGUAGCAGCUUGUGGAACUUCUUCUUCCGUGGCUGAUGCAGCUAGAUUGUCUUCAGCAGAGACUUGAGGCCUUGGACCUUUGUGAAGCCUGCGCAACGCGGGCGAUGCCUGUGGAGCUGGAGUGGGCUGGGCCUCAUAGUCUUCUUCCUCUUGUUGGCGAUCCGCCCAUGAAGCAUCCUGUGCCAUUGGCGUCAGUGGACGACCAAUGCUGAUGAGUUCGUUGUUUUCAAGCUGAGGAAGAACUGCACCAUCUUCUACAUGGUCAUGUUGACCAAUGUCUUCAGCAGUGAUGGGAUCAGCUGUUGGAAAGUCUUUAGCUUUAUGAGCCUCUGUGGAAGCAGGCUCAUGGAUUGUCAGUUGGCGUUCAGCUUCAGGAUAGACCAUUGAAAUAGGUUCAACUAUCAAAGGCUCUGUGGGAGCAGCCUGUUCCUUCUUGGUCUUUCGUUUCUUCUUGGAGGGGGCAGUAGGAGAGGCUUCAGGAUGUUUCCUCUUCCUGGCUUCAGCCUCAGCAGUCCUUGUCUUCUUGAGCUCUGAAGCGGUUGACCGGCUUUUUGGCUUCAAGCCAGUCAGUCUAGUUGGGAAGACAAUCGGAACUGCUUCCUGCCUUGGUGCGUCGGAUUCAGCCGUAGCAGUCUUCUUCUUCUUCUUUGCGGCCAUCCUAGGGUCAAUGCCAGGACGCCCAAGGGCCUUGCGCUUCUCAGCCUCAUUGUAGGCUUGCACACAUCUGUCAGCCAGAGCCUUCAUGCGCUCACGUGAAUCCCGAGCUUCUGCACAUUUCUUCAGAAAGGCUUCCUUGAGCUCGUGCAUCAUGAUCUUGAAGUUCUUCACUUCUUGCACACUGAGCUUGGCCAUAUGCUUCUUGAACUGAGCCUUUUCAUAGUCAAUCUUCUGCUUUAGUUCAACAACGUGUCGGGCGAUGGCUAGCUCUGAAGCAAUGGCGCCUUGGAAGGCGACACUGAGGCCAAUGGGUAGCUGCAGAUCAUCAAAGCUGAUGUUUGGCAUAUCAAACCACUCGUCAAUGAAGUUGUGGAUGAUGGUUACAUCAAAGAGAGGCAGAUCAUUGAAGAUUUCGGCUUCUUCUUUGCUCUUGAUGAGUUGCUCAAGAGCGUCAUCUGCAAGAUCUUCAUCACUUGACAGAUCAAUGUCAUCAUUGCGCAGAAUGGCAGCAGCUGUUAGCUCUUGGCCGGUGUGUGGCAGAGGCAUCUUGGCCUUCUAGGGCUUGGAGAUGCGUGAUAAAUCUUCGGACUGCACACUGUCUUCAGGAGAUGCAGUUGCCAGUGGCUUCGCCCUUGAGAUUUUUGGUGAAGGGGCAGGCUUUGAAGCUUUGGGCUUCUUCAACUUCUUUGGUGUUGGCGCUGCAGGCGCUUCAUCUGAUUCAGCGUUAGCUGCAGGCUCAUUCACGGUUGUCCCUUGAACCAAGAUAUGGGUGAUGAGUCCUGCAAGGUUGUAGAAAGGACCGACGACAUUGGGUUCCGCAUCGCGUGUGCCGUCAGCCCUUGGAGCAGAAGGACCAGGGUUGAAGUCUAAUCCAAAAGACUUCUUGUUCUGCUUUGCUGAGUUCUUGGCAAACUGGAAGUUGCGCUUGAAUAGAUUGUCGUCACGGCACCAUAGUAGUGACGAUGGGUGUGCAUCUGCAGGCUGUGGCCCACGCACCAUGCAGGGAUAGAAGCCUUGUUCAAUGGCUUCUUCUCUGGACCUGGGUUGAAGAUUCUUGUAUAGGAUGUCUCCCCAUGGUCUCUUGAUGGCAUUUCUCUCAGCAUAUUCCUGGGUCACAAACCGGUAUUUGAACCAUUGUUCUGCCCAAUAUCUUCGAAUCCAUUGGAUUCGGGUCUUGCGCUGAUUAUAAUCCUGUUCAGGAUCUGUCUUGUAAAGCUCUGAGAGGUCAUCAGGAAAAUCUCUUGAUGUCCCCCCACGACGCUGUCUGCCACCCUUCCUUACUGAUUUCUCUGCAGCCAUGAACUUCAAACUGAAAGGCUUCAAAACGUUCAAAGGCUUCAAAGGUUUUCGCUUGCUGGACAAACAGGAACUGGCUUCGGGAGAAUUUAUAUGAUGCUGUAAGAAUUCUGCAAAUGAAUGCAGACUAUGAGAACCAAGGGAUUCUCCCAUGGACAUGUACCUGUGACAACAUUAAGGUGCAAGGGAAGGGGAAGAGGUCAUAUGCAUUCUCAGGAGAUUUUGAAGAUAAAUCAGUUUAGAAGACAUUGACCUCAUCGUGCGAAGACAUUCACUCAUAGAUAAGGAGUUGGUUCCAGAUUUGUACGAAUCCAGUGAUCAGUACAAGUGAGGAAUCUAACUACUUGUGAAGCAUAAGUGAAUAUACUAGGCAUGUUAUGAGAUGCAGUAGGAAAGAGAUCCAACUUGUGUGAAUAGAAACUUCUUAUGGUAGAAAGUGACAAAGCCAUAGGAUCAAAAGGGGCCGUAAAAAGAAGUUUUAUUUACCACACUUGGAACUGCUAGAUGGAGUGGAAGAGGAGGCCGAGCAGUUCGAUCUUCUGUGCCCUAACUUGGCGACGAAGGACACCUACGGCGACGGCGGAGAGGACGAUGUCCGCGGUCGGUGUGAAGACGGCGUCGGAGAGGUUGCGGCAGUGAAGCGCUUCGUCGCCGGCGUCGUCGAGGGCUAGCAGUGGCACUAGGGUUCGUGCGAGGGUGGAAGAAGAGAUGAUGACCGCUGUGAAGGGUGUAUUUAUAGGUACAGGGGCGGCACUGCGUUAUUACACAGGUGCCCCUGGCGAUUCACAUCUGAGGAACACGUGGCCAUCAUGCAGUAUAUUGGGGUUUGUUCCACGUCUCACGCACGCCUAGAUUGUCGGGUGGUCGUUCCUACUUCUCCGGGUUUCAUGUGGAGGAAUGGGCAUUGAAAACGGACUUAAUGUUUGUCUCUGUAUGUUCUGCUGACAAGGACGCAGAGAAGACAUUCGACAGUUUCAAUAGAAUGCAUAUGAUUUGGAGAGAUAGAGUUUGAGAUAGAGAGCACAGAGAGGUUAGGGUCCGAUCACAUUCACUUAGAUCAAAAGAUUCAACAAGAAGACAUAGCUAUAAGUGAAUACUGUAGAGGACAGAACACUAGUAUAUAUAUAUAUAUAUAAUCAACAUAGUGAAGAUAAUCAUGAAAACAUGUUGAGAUUGAAACCAAACCAAAUGUGAAGUCAUAGCAAGGUAAUGCCAUGAGUGAAACACUUCAAAUAGAACAUUUGGUGGUGGCGUUACCCACCGUAUAGGAAGUAUUAGACCCAGACACGGCGCACAAUUAUCGUGGCGCUCCGAAGUCAAAUUCCACAUUAAUGUAUUCACACUUAGAAUGUAUGUCUUCAUUGAUUGAAGAUAUACUUUACUUCGUGUGUUGCACAUCUAAGUCAUCAAUAUGCAUAAGGGUUAGGAUGUGUGCCUGAUCACAGGACAUUUGAGGAUUCCAGGAUAUUUAGCUCACAUCGUAACUUGCAAAAUCUCUUCUCAUCCAAGGGCUUGGUGAAGAUAUCUGCCAAUUGCUCUUCAGUGUUGACGUGUAUGAUAUCAAUAUCUUCCUUCACAACAUGAUCUCUGAGAAAGUGAUGACGAAUUUCAAUGUGCUUUGUCUUCGAGUGCUGAACAGGGUUGUUGGCAAUCUUGAUGGCGCUUUCGUUGUCACAGUAGAGUGGCACUUGCUUCAGAUGAAUGCCAUAGUCCUUGAGGGUUUGCUUCAUCCACAGAAGCUGAGCGCAGCAAGAUCCAGCAGCAAUGUAUUCAGAUUCAGCAGUGGAGAGAGAUACACAGUUCUGCUUCUUUGAAGACCAACAUACAGGUGAUCGUCCCAGAAAAUGACAUGUGCCUGAUGUAGACUUGCGAUCCACCUUGUCACCAGCAUAAUCAGCAUCCGAGAAUCCAACCAGAUCAAACUCUGAGCCCUUUGGAUACCAUAAUCCUAGAGUUGGGGUGUGAGCCAAAUAUCGAAGAAUUCGCUUCACAGCUAGGUGAUGCGACUCCUUUGGUGCCGCUUGAAAUCGAGCACACAUGCAAACACUAAGCAUAAUAUCUGGCCUAGAUGCACAUAGAUAAAGCAAAGAACCAAUCAUGGAGCGGUAUACCUUUUGAUCGAACUCUUUACCAUUGUCGUCAGGACCCAGAUGAUGCUUGGCUGGUAUUGGCGUCGUGAACCCUUUGCAGUCUUGCAUACCGAACUUCUUAAGGCAAUCCUUGAGAUGCUUCUCUUGAGAUAUGAAGAUGCCGUUGCGUUGCUGUCGUAUUUGAAUACCGAGGAAAAACUUCAGCUCUCCAUCAUGGACAUCUGAUAUUGCUCUUGCAUCAUAUAUCCAAACUCUUCACUGUACUUCUGAUUGGUGCAGCCGAAGAUAAUGUCAUCCACAUAUAUUUGGCACACAAACAGUUAACCAUCAUAUGUCUUCGUGAAGAGAGUGGGGUCGAGGGAACCAGGUAUGAAGCCUUUGCUCUUCAGGAAGUAUUUGAGUGUGUCAUACCAGGCCCGAGGGGCUUGUUUGAGGCCAUAUAGUGCCUUGUUGAGCUUGUAUACCGUAUCAGGAUGUUUUAGAUCUUCAGAGCCAGGUGGUUGUGCAACAUACACUUCUUCUUCAAUCUUUCCAUUGAGAAAGGCGCUCUUCACAUCCAUUUGAUAAAGAAGUAUGUUGUGAUGAUUUGCAUAGGCCAGCAGUAUGCGUAUGGCUUCAAGUCUAGCCACAGGAGCAAAUGUUUCAUUGAAGUCAAUGCCUUCCACUUGAGUAUAUCCUUGAGCAACUAGACGAGCUUUGUUUCUGACAACUUGACCAUGCUCAUCUUGCUUGUUGCGGUAUAUCCAUUUUGUGCCUAUUAUGUUGUGCUUCCGAGGAUCAGGACGCUUAACCAGUUCCCAUACAUUAUUCAGCUCAAACCGUUGAAGCUCUUCUUGCAUAGCUUGAAUCCAUUCAGGUUCCAUGAAGGCUUCUUCCACUUUCUUGGGUUCUGUUAUUGAGACGAAUGCGAAGUGCCCACAGAAAUUUGCCAGCUGGGUUGCCCUUGAUCGACUGAGCGGACCAGGUGCAUUGAUGCUGUCAAUUAUUCUCUCAAUUUGCACUUCAUUGGCAACACGAGGAUGUACAGGGCGAAGACUUUGCUCUUGCUGAUCAUUGUCGUUGUUGGAGGGAUUGUCUUCAGGUUGAGCAUUGUCUUCAGGUUGAUCUGGUGCAGAGAUGAUGAGUUCCUCUUCAGGAUGAGCUUUAGAAGGUAUGAUUUCUCCAGUUCCCAUUAGCUUGAUUGAUUCACUGGAUGGAACUUCAUCUAGCACAUUUGGCAGGUGCUCUCUUUGUGAACCGUUAGUCUCAUCGAACCGCACAUCCACGGUUUCAACCACUUUAUAAUGAAAGAGGUUGAAGACUCUGUAGGAGUGCGAAUCCUUUCCAUAUCCAAGCAUAAAACCCUCAUGUGCUUUUGGGGCAAACUUUGAAGUGUGAUGUGGGUCCUUGAUCCAGCACCUUGCGCCAAAUACUCUGAAGUAACUGGCAUUUGGCUUCUUGCCAGUGAGGAGCUCAUACGAUGUCUUGUUCAGAAGCUUGUGAAGAUAAACACGAUUGAUUGUAUGGCAUGCAGUAUCAAUGGCUUCAGGCCAGAAUUUUCUUGGAGUCUUGUAUUCAUCUAGCAUUGUUCUGGCCAUCUCAAUGAGUGUUCUGUUCUUGCAUUCGACGACGCCAUUCUGCUGUGGCGUGUACGGGGCUGAGAAUUCAUGUGUGAUGCCCAAGGUAUCAAGAUAUGUAUCAAGGCCAGUGUUCUUGAAUUCAGUGCCAUUGUCACUUUUGAUGUGCUUUAUCUUGGCACCAUAGUUGUUCAUUGCUCGAUUGGCGAAGCGUUUGAAGACAUCCUGCACUUCAGUCUUGUAAAGGAUUAUAUGCACCCAAGUGUAUCUAGAAUAAUCAUCAAUAAUGAAGAAGCCAUAGAGACAAGCAGUAGUAGUAAGAGUUGAGUAAUGAGUGGGACCGAAAAGAUCCAUGUGAAGCAGCUCGAAGGGUCGAGUAGUAGUCAUGAUUGUCUUCGAGGGAUGCUUGGCCCUCGUCAUCUUUCCUGCUUCACAGGCACCGCAUAAGUGAUCUUUCUUGAACUUGACGCCCUCAAUGCCUAUGACAUGCUUCUUCUUUGCCAGGGUGUGGAGGUUCCUCAUGCCAGCAUGCCCAAGCCUCCGAUGCCAGAGCCAGCAUUCUGAAGCUUUUGCUAGAAGACAUACGGCAAGUUGUGGUCCUGCUGAGAAAUCUACCACGUACAGAUCGUCUUUCCGAUACCCUUCAAACACUAGAGACUUGUCAGAUUCCAUUAGAACAAGGCAACAAUAUUUUCCAAAUAUUACGAUCAUGUUCAAAUCGCAUAGCAUUGAGACAGACAUUAAGUUGAAGCCAAGGGAUUCAACAAGCAUGACUUUAUCCAUGUGUUGAUCCUUUGAGAUUGCAACUCUACCUAGACCCAAUACCUUACUUUUACCAGUGUCAGCAAAUGUGAUGUGGCUCUUGUCGGAAGGACGUAAGGUUGAGUCCAUCAGAAGGCUUCUUUUGCCAGUCAUGUGAUUUGUACACCCACUAUCAGUAAUCCAUUCUGUAUACGCUGGUGUCGUACCCUACAGUGCAGUUAGGGGGAUAGGCUUCACGAAGAGAGUUGUGAAGCAAAAACAUUUGACGAACCAGUGGGUUAUGAAAGCUUAGAUCCAGAUUAGUACUGAUAGGGAGAGUAGCAAGCGAUUCAGGAACGAAGUACAUAGUAAGACCAUUCGGCAUUUGAUCUUGCGCCCUACAAGAUGUUUAAGGUCCCCAGCGAUAGCGUCAGAAGAUUUUGGUUUUCUGCUGGAGACCUUUCCCUGCAAAAGAGAGUUAAGCCUUCUUAACAACCCACAUCUUCAAGGGUGGCUUAGAAGCGAUAAGUCUAAGUGCAGAGUCUGAAAACUUUGGCUUUGGGGCUCUAGCAAAAAGUCUUGCAGGUGGACAAUAAUACUCAUAAGAAUAAGCAGAAUAGUUUUUGGUCUUAUGAACAUGGCGGUUCGAUGAACCGCGCUCAUAUUCAUAGGCCUGAGUAUGGUUUCCCUGCAAAACAUUUGCAUUAGUCCGACUCAGGUGAGUCCUCUGUCUGUAUGAAGCCUUUGGGCCAUAUGAAGCCUGUGGUCUGGGGUUUGUCUUCUUCAUCUAUGGUGUCAUGAUGACAUUCACAGGAAGAUUUUCCAAACACCUUUUGGGCACCCAGACCUUCUUCAUAGGCGGUCCAUUCCUGCAGUUAGUACCAAUGUACCUGGCAAAAACUUCACCAUUCUGAUUCUUAAAUAGUUUAUAGUUUGCAUCAAAGGAUUCAUCAAUGACAAUGGGGUUAGCACAAGUGAAGCCAGAUAGACUGGAUGGAUUUGCUGAAGGUUCCUUUGCAGCAACCCAUGUGGUUUUGGGAUACUGCUCGGGUUUCUAGUAAGAGCCAUCAGCAUUCAUUUUCCUUAUGAACCCAACACCCUCUUUCCUCGGGUUUCGGUUCAGAAUCUGCCUUUUGAGGACAUCACAUAGUGUCUGAUGCCCUUUAAGACUUUUGUACAUCCCUGUUUCAAGCAAUGUCUUCAACCUAGCAUUCUCAUCAGCAAUCGCAGUAGUAUCCUCAGUAGAGGGGUUAGUUACCACAUCAACAGUUGAAGAUAUUGCAACAGUAGCAGUAGUAGAACAUUCAGCAACAGAAGCAGCAUUAUCACGCUCAAUGCAUUUAAGACAUGGUGGUUCAAAUCCUUCCUGAGCGGAACUGAUCUGUUCGGCGCGAAGUGACUCGUUUUCCUUUUGAAGAUCUUCAUGAGCCGCUCUCAAUUUCUCAAGAUCUUGCUUCCUUUGAAGAUAAUCAUAGGAAAGCUUUUCAUGAGUUGUUGAGAGCGUUUCAUGACAACUUUCAAGUUCCUCAUAUUUAACGUGAAGAUUUUUUAUGUCUUGAAUUAAGGAUUCAGAUCGAGUCAUUUCAACGCCCAACAAAUCAUCGCUUUUGUCUAACAGUUUUUGAAUAUGUUCCAUGGCUUUCUGUUGUUCAGUUGCAAUUUUAGCAAGUGUUUUGUAGCUGGGUCUUGAAUCACAAUCAGAGUCAUCAUCACUAGAUGUUUGAUAGUGAGUAGUGCGUGUGUUUACCUUGGCACCGUGUGCCAUGAAGCAGUAGGUAGGAGCAGAGUCGUCCUUGUCAUUUGCAUCGGCGUCGGUGGUGAAGUCAUUGUCUUCAGUGUUGAAGAUGGACUUGGCAACGUAUGCUGUAGCCAGACUUGCAACACCAGAAUCGGACUCCUCCUCAGACUCCACCUCCGCCUCCUCAGACGCGGACUCCUCCUCUGAAUCCAUUUCCUUGCCAACAAACGCACGUGCCUUGCCAGAUGAGCUCUUCUUGUGUGAUGAAGACUUUGAGGAAGACUUGGAAGAAGACUUUGAGUAUUUCUUCUUCUUCUUGUCGUCAGAGUCAUAUUCCUUGCUCUUCUUCUUCUUUCUAUUCUCAUUGUCCCACUGCGGACACUCAGAGAUGAAGUGGCUAGUUUUCUUGCACUUGUGACAUGUUUUCUUCUUGUAGUCAUGAGCAGAAGCUUCAUCAUUCCUUGAGCUUGAUCGUGAAGACUUUCUGAAGCCUUUCUUCUUGGGGAAUCUUUGGAACUUCUUUACAAGCAUAGCAAGUUCCUUUCCAAUGUCUUCAGGAUCGUCAGAACUGCUGUCAGAUUCUUCUUCAGAUGAGGAGACAACUUUUGCCUUCAGGGCACGAGUUCGCCCAUAGUUUGGACCGUAGAUAUCUCUUUUCUCAGAAAGCUGAAACUCAUGUGUGUUGAGCCUCUCAAGUAUGUCGGACGGAUCGAGUAUCUUGAAAUCAGGUCGUUCUUGAAUCAUCAGGGCUAGGGUGUCAAACAAACUGUCAAGUGAUCUCAGUAGUGUCUUGACGACUUCAUGCUUGGUGAUCUCAGUGGCGCCGAGCGCUUGAAGCUCAUUUGUGAUGUCAGUGAGUCGGUCAAAUGUGAGCUGGACAUUCUCAUUGUCAUUUCGCUUGAAGCGGUUAAAGAGGUUGCGAAGAACGCUGAUUCUCUGAUCUCUCUGGGUUGAGACGCCUUCGUUGACCUUGGAGAGCUAGUCCCAGACCAGCUUCGAUGUUUCCAAAGUGCUCACACGGCCAUACUGUCCUUUGGUCAGAUGACCACAGAUAAUGUUCUUGGCAGUAGAGUCCAGUUGAACGAACUUCUUGACAUCAGCAACAGUGACACCUUCUCCAGCCUUGGGAACGCCGUUCUUGACGACAUACCAUAGGUCGACGUCAAUGGCUUCAAGAUGCAUGCGCAUCUUAUUCUUCCAGUAGGGAUAUUCAGUUCCAUCGAAGACGGGGCACGCAACGGAGACUUUAAUUAUCCCUGCAGUCGACAUAGCUAAAACUCCAGGUGGUUAAACCGAAUCACACAGAACAAGGGAGCACCUUGCUCUCAUACCAAUUGAAAGUGCAUUAUAUCGACUAGAGGGGGUGACUAGGCGAUUUUUAUGAAAGUCUUAAAAACAUGGAAGUUUCGAAGACAAAUGAUAGAAAUAAACCUAUUACCAUGCAGCGGAAGUUAGACUACACUAGAUAAACCAUAGUCAUGUAUUCAAUGAAGUGAAAGGACAAUGACUAAUAGUAGCUAGGUAGUAAGGAUCAGGCAGGAAGAUAUUAAGAAGCCAAACGGAUCACACAGUCACUCAGUGAAGACAAAAGAUAGAGCAAACAUACAAUGACUUCACACAGAGUAACAGUAAGUAAAGAGAAGGGAAGGAUGAAACCAGUGACUCGUUGAAGACAAAUAUUUGUUGGACCAGUUCCAGUUGCUGUGACAACUGUACGUCUGGUUAGGGCGGCUAGGUAUUUAAACCAAAGGACACAUAGUCCCGGACACCCAGUCCUGAACACGCAGCUCAGGACACCCAGUCCUCACAGUAUUCCCCUUGAGCUAAGGUCACACAGACCUCGCCCAAUCACUCUGGUAAGUCUUCAAGGUAGACUCCCAAACCUUCACAGACUUCGUUCACCGGCAAUCCACAAUGUCUCUUGGAUGCUAUAACGCGACGCCUAACUGGCUGGAGGAUGCACAGUCCUCAAGUGUAAUAAGUCUUCAUAUCACUCAGACAAGAAGACUUAAGUGAUGCCUAAUUCUCUUUGGCUCUGGGUGGUUAGGGCUUUAUCCUCGCAAGGAAUUCUCUCUCAAAGGCUUCGAGGUGGGUUGCUCUCAAACGACAAAAGCCGUACUCUGAAUCCGAGCAGCCAACCGUUUAUGGUUGUAGGGGGUGGGCUAUUUAUAGCCACUAGGCAACCCGACAUGAUUUGUCCGAAAUGACCCUGGGUCACUAAGGAACUGACACGUGUUCCAACGGUCAGAUUUCAAACUCACACGGCAACUUUACUUGGGCUACAAGCAAAGCUGACUUGUCCGACUCUGGACAAGAUUUGCUCUCAUAGUCUUCACUCGAAGACAUAGGUUUUUGUUUAAGCAUCACUUCAGUCAUUCUGACUGGUUCUCUUGGACCCCACUUAACAGUGCGGUGGUUCCUAUGACUCAACACAGAAGAAAAAGAACUACGAAAGAUCUAAGUCUUCGAGCUCCAUAGGCUUCAUGCAGUGUCUUCUCUUGUCAUAGUCUUCAAUGUGAAUAUCUUCAUAUACCACCUUUGACAUCAAUGUCUUCAUACAUUUUUAGGGGUCAUCUCUGGUGGGAAAACCAAAUCAAUGAGGUACUUCUACCUGUGUUAUCCUGCAAUUCUCAUAAACACAUUAGUCCCUCAACUAGGUUUGUCGUCAAUACUCCAAAACCAACUAGGGGUGGCACUAGAUGCACUUACACAGUCGUCUCUAAAGCAUAACCCCAAAAUGAUAGCAGUAAAUUAGUAAGAGACAUCAUAGAUCGCACCAUAUCUAAUAAAGUGCGGUUACGAUGUUCGGACACACCAUUAUGUUGUGGUGUUCCGUGUGGCGUGAGUUGCGAAACUGUUCUGCAUUGUUUCAAAUGAAGACCAAACACGUAACUCAAAUAUUCACCUCCACGAUCAGAUUGUAGAAACUUUAUUUUCUUGUUACGAUAUUUUUCCUCUUCACUCUGAAUUUUUUUGAACUUUUCAAAUGUUUCAGACUUAUGUUUCAUCAAGUAGAUAUACCCAUAUCUGCUCAAAUCAUCUGUGAAGGUCAGAAAAUAACAAUACCCGCCGCGAGCCUCAACACUCAUCGGACCGCAUACAUCCGUAUGUAUUAUUUCCAACAAGUCUAUUGCUCACUCCAUUGUUCCGGAGAAUGGAGUCUUAGUCAUCUUGCCCAUGAGGCAUGGUUCGCAAGCAUCAAGUGAUUCAUAAUCAAGUGAUUCCAAAAGUCCAUCAGCAUGGAGUUUCUUCAUGCGCUUUACACCAAUAUGACCUAAACGGCAGUGCCACAAAUAAGUUGCACUAUCAUUAUUAACCUUGCAUCUUUUGGCUUCAAUAUUAUGAAUAUGUGUGUCACUAUUGUCGAGAUUCAAUAAAAAUAGAUCACUCAUCAAGGGUGCAUGACCAUAAAAGAUAUUACUCAUAUAAAUAGAACAACCAUUAUUCUCUGAUUUAAAUGAAUAUCCGUCUCGCAUCAAACAAGAUCCAGAUAUAAUGUUCAUGCUUAACGUUGGCACCAAAUAACAAUUAUUCAGGUCUAAAACUAAUCCCGAUGGUAGAUGUAGAGGUAGCAUGCUGACGGCGAUCACAUCGACUUUGGAACCAUUUCCCACGCGCAUCGUCACCUCGUCCUUAGCCAAUCUUCGCUUAAUCCGUAGCCCAUGUUUCGAGUUGCAAAUAUGAGCAACAGAACCAGUAUCAAAUACCUAGGCGCUACUACGAGCAUUAGUAAGGUACACAUUAAUAACAUGUAUAUCAAAUAUACCUUUCACUUUGCCAUCCUUCUUAUCCAUCAAAUACUUGGGGUAGUUCCGCUUCCAAUGACCAGUCCCUUUGUAGUAGAAGCAUUCAGUCUCCGGCUUAGGUCCAGACUUGGGCUUCUUCACUUGAGCAACAACUUGCUUGUCAUUCUUCUUGAAGUUCCCCUUCUUCCCUUUGCCCUUUUUCUUGAUACUGGUGGUCUUGUUGACCAUCAACACUUGAUGCUCCUUCUUGAUUUCUACCUCUACAGCCUUUAGCAUUGCGAAGAGCUCGGGAAUUGUCUUAUCCAUCCCUUGCAUAUUAUAGUUCAUCAUGAAGCUUUUGUAGCUUGGUGGCAGUGAUUGAAGAACUCUGUCAAUGACACUAUCAUCAGGAAGAUUAACUCCUAGUUGAGUCAAGUGGUUGUGGUACCUGGACAUUUUGAGUAUAUGUUCACUAACAAAACUAUUCUCCUCCAUCUUACAGCUGUAGAACUUAUUGGAGACUUCAUAUCUCUCAAUCCGGGCAUUUGCUUGAAAAUUUUACUUCGACUCCUGGAACAUCUCAUAUGCUCCAUGAUGUUCAAAACGUUGUUGAAGUCCCGAUUCUAAGCCGUAAAGCAUGGCACACUAAACUAUCGAGUAGUCAUCGGCUUUGCUCUACCAGACGUUCAUAAUGUCCGGUGUUGCUUGAUACGUCUCCGUCGUAUCUACUUUUCCAAACACUUUUGUCCUUGUUUUGGACUCUAACUUGCAUGAUUUGAAUGGAACUAACCCGGACUGACGCUGUUUUCAGCAGAAUUACCAUGGUGUUAUUUAUGUGUAGAAAUAAAAGUUCUCGGAAUGACCUGAAACUUCAGGGAACGUCUUUUUGGAAAUAAUAAAAAAUCCUUGCAAAAGAUGAAGACCAGGGGGCCCACACCCUAGCCACGAGGGUGGGGGCGCGCCUGCCCCCCUAGGCGCGACCCCUACCUUGUGGGCCCCCUGGAGCUCCUCCGACCUCAACUCCAACUCUAUAUAUUUGCUUUCAGGGAGAAAAAAAUUAGAGAGAAGGAUUCAUCGCGUUUUACAAUACAGAGCCGCCGCCAAGCCCUAAAACCUCUCAGGAGGGCUGAUCUGGAGUCCGUUCGGGGCUCCGGAGAGGGGAAUCCGUCGCCAUCGUCAUCAUCAACCUUCCUCCAUCACCAAUUUCAUGAUGCUCACCGCCGUGCGUGAGUAAUUCCAUCAUAGGCUUGCUGGACGGUGAUGGGUUGGAUGAUAUUUAUCAUGUAAUCGAGUUAGUUUUGUUAGGGUUUGAUCCCUAGUAUCCACUAUGUUGUGAGAUUGAUGUUGCUAUGACUUUGCUAUGCUUAAUGCUUGUCACUAGGGCCCGAGUGCCAUGAUUUCAGAUCUGAACCUAUUAUGUUUUCAUCAAUAUAUGAGUGUUCUUGAUCCUAUCUUGCAAGUCUAUAGUCACCUACUAUGUGUUAUGAUCUGGCAACCCCGAGGUGACAAUAAUAGGGACCACUCCCGGUGAUGACCGUAGUUUGAGGAGUUCAUGUAUUCAUUAUGUGUUAAUGCUUUGGUCUGGUACUCUAUUAAAAGGAGGCCUUAAUAUCCCUUAGUUUCCGCUAGGACCCCGCUGCCACGGGAGGGUAGGACAAAAGAUGUCAUGCAAGUUCUUUUCCAUAAGCACGUAUGACUAUAUUCGAAAUACAUGCCUACAUUACAUUGAUGAAUUGGAGCUAGUUUUGUGUCACCCUAGGUUAUGACUGUUACAUGAUGAACCGCAUCCGGCGUAAUUCUCUAUCACCGAUCCAUUGCCUACGAGCUUUCCAUAUAUUGUUCUUCACUUAUUUACUUUUCCGUUGCUAUUGCUAUCAUCACUACAAAAUACCAAAAACAUUAAUUUUGCUAUCGUUACCUUUUGCUACCGUUACCACUACUAUCAUAUUACGUUGCUACUAAACACUUUACUACAGAUAUUAAGUUUCUAGGUGUGGUUGAAUUGACAACUCAACUUUCAACUGCUAAUACUUGAUAAUAUUCUUUGGCUCCCCUUGUGUCGAAUCAAUAAAUUUGGGUUGAAUACUCUACCCUCGAAAACUGUUGCGAUCCCCUAUACUUGUGGGUUAUCAAGACUAUUUUCUGGCGUCGUUGCCGGGGAGCAUAGCUCUAUUCUUUGAGUCACUUGGGAUUUAUAUCUGUUUAUCAUUAUGAAGAACUUGAGAGAUCCAAAAACCAAGAUUUAUCUCUCAACUACGAGGGGAGGUAAGGAACUGCCAUCUAGCUCUGCACUUGAUUCACCUUCUAUUUUGAGUAAGCUUGCGACACCUAAACCUGCUUCUGCUAUUCAUUCUGAUAUGUCGCAUGUUAUUAAUGAUGCCACUUGUGCUAUGCAUGAUACUUAUGAUGAAACUACUUCUAUGCUUGAUACUACUGUGCCACUUGGUGAAUUUCUUGAUGAACAACUUGCUAGGGUUAGAGAGAAUGAAAUUAUUGAAACUGAUAAUAUAUAUAUAUAUAUUUGAAUAUAUACUGUAGGGUAAAACCCCCACAGCCCUUUAUUGCAGUCUCAAAAAACAAACUGUACAGUGAAAGAAAGAGAUGACAAGCCUAAACGAAAAGUUAAGAAGAACUUACAAUUACAUGAGGGAGUUAACUCAAUCUACAAGCCUAGACUUAGAGCUAUCCUUAAACCUAUGUGACAGGAGAAGAAUGUCAUGUACAAAACUGCCCCUCCAGGCAACAAAAGUAGCCCGUAGUCCCCUGAAAGUUCUUCCAUUUCUCAGAAUCCAUAUAUUCCAAGCAGCUGUGAGCAUAACUUCAAAGAAGAAAGGAUACCCAAAUCGCUGCCUUGCUUGAGAUAUACAUUGCUGAAUAGAAGAACCAUGUGACCAAUCGAUCUGCAGGUAUUUCCAAACCCUGGCACUGAAAUUACAACCAAAGAAUAGGUGAGCCCUGUCCUCCCAAACAAAGGCAUUACAGAUGACACAUAGAUGAUCAGCCGUAGGGGACCUCCGGUGGCUGCGGACCAGCACGUCCUUUGUGUUGAGUCUGUCAAAGAAUAGGAGCCAGCCAAAAACCUUAAUUUUCAUAGUACAUAUGCUCUGCCAAAGCCACCUGCAGGGUUUAAUAGUUGGGAGGUGUGUAUGCAUGAUGUCAUAGAAGCUCUUUGCAGAAAACUGUCCAGAUUUACCAGGCCAAAUCCAAACAUCAGGCAAUGUUGGAUCUCUCUGGAGAUUGAACAUCCUUCCUUCCAAGGAUUCCAAUUCUGCUGCUGCCUGCUGAGAAAUUGGCAGAUGAAACAUUGAGAACAAAUCCUGGGUUUGCAAAAACUCCCUGACAGAAACCUUAUCAUCCAAAACAAAAGAGAAAAGCCUUGGUAAUCUGAGGCUUAGUGGCCUUGAAGAGCCACCUACAUGGCAAGCAUCCAGCCAAAAGAGAGCAGAAUCACCCAUAUUAACUGGCACUGAAGCAAUUGACCUAUAAGUGUCAGCAAGCUUGAGAAUGUCCUUCCACCAAAAGGAGCCAGUUAGGACUGUUGCAUGGGGCACCACUCCAUCAUAAUAACUAUCCCAAAUCAACUGGACCCAAGGAAUCUGCUGUUUGUUGUAGAACUUAUGCAUUUGUUUGAGAAGCAGACCUUGAUUUUGAACAUUGAGGUUGAGAAUGCCAAGUCCUCCCUUAUCCUUUGGUCUGCAAACUAAAUCACAGGCAGCUAGGGAUUGCUUAGGCACAUCAGAAUUUCCUCUCCACAAACACUGCCUGAAAAUCCUAUCCAACUGUUUGAUAAUACCAGGUGGGAUAUGCAAGCUGCAGAGGAAGUAUAUGGGCAUUGAAGUAAGCACAGAUGUGAGAAAUUGUAACCUGGAUCCUUGGUUGAGCAUGGCAGAGCUAACAGACAGUCUUCUUUCAAGACUAUCCACUAAAGGCAUGAAAUCAAUGAUUCUAGGUCUUGUUGUACCAAGAGGCAAACCCAGAUAUGUGAAAGGUAACUGCUCCGGUUUACAUCCCAGGAUGGAAGACAACCUCUGUGCCUCUGUGGGAUCAACAUUUAGUGGCACCAUUGAAGACUUUCCAAAAUUUACCUUUAGGCCAGUAGACUGUUGGAAAAUAUGGAGCAUGUUCUUGAGAGCCACCAACUGGUCCUGUACUGCAGAAAGGAUAAUUAUUGUGUCAUCUGCAUACUGAAUGAUAGGAAAUUCAGGGUCCUAAGAUGGGAUUGGAAGUGUUAGAACUCCCUUAGCCAGCAUGUUAUUGACCAUUGUUUGAAGAAGAUCGGCAGCUAUGACAAAUAAAAGAGGGGAUAGGGGAUCCCCCUGCCUGACCCCACAUUUAUAUUUGAACUGUUUGCCAGGCACCCCAUUAAGCAAAACAGAUGAUGAUCCUGAGGAGAGAAUCUCUUUAAUCCAAGAAAUCCAUUUGGCAUCAAAACCUUUGUGCUGUAGAACUUGCAAGAUGAAGUCAUGCUCCACAGUGUCAAAAGCUUUGGCAAAAUCCAAUUUCAAAAUGAUGGUUGGCCUUUUGGAUUGAUUGCAUUGAUGUAUAUAUUCAAAAGCCCAAGCCAGGCAGUCCUGAAUGGCUCUGCUCUUCAAAAACCCAUAUUGAUUCUUAUGGAUGCAUUGCAGAAUGACCUUUUGAAGCCUAUUUCCCAAAAGCUUAGUAAGGAACUUGAGGCAUGUGUUAGUAAGAGAGAUUGGUCUAAAAUCCUCAAGUCCUUCAGGAGACAACAUCUUUGGAAUUAAGGUGAUAAGGGAUCCAUUAAUAUUUUCCAAAGAUAGCCUCCCAUCAUAAAACCCCUGAAUGAGAGCCAAGAAAUCCUUCUCAAUGAUGGGCCAACACUUCUUAACAAAAAGACCAUUAAAACCGUGAAAGUGAUGAUGAAGAUUCUCCCCCUAAUAAAUAUGAAUUGCCUGUUGUGCCUGAGGGCUAUGUUAUGGAUGAAGAAAUUGCUAAAGCUAUUUUUGUUUGCAAAGAUAGAUAUGAUCUUAAGAAGUUAUUAGCUAAAUGGAAGCAGCAAUCUCUUAAUGCUAGAAUGAAACCUGACCCUGCUUUUGCUACUUCACCUAUCUGUGUUACUGAUAAGGAUUAUGAAUUCUCUGUUGAUCCUGAUAUAAUUACUUUGGUUGAAUCUGAUCCUUUUCAUGGCUAUGAGUCUAAAACUGUUGUGGCACAUCUUACUAAAUUAAAUGAUAUAGCCACCCUAUUCACUAAUGAUGAGAGAACUCGUUACUUUUAUAUCCUUAAAAUAUUCCUGUUCUCAUUAAAGGGUGAUGCUAAGAUAUGGUUUAAUUCUCUUGAUCCUGGUUGUGUGCGUAGUCCCCAGGAUAUGAUUUAUUACUUCUCUGCUAAAUAUUUCACUGCUCAUAAGAAACAAGCUGCUUUGAGGGAUAUAUAUAAUUUUGUGCAAAUUGAAGAAGAGAGUCUCCCACAAGCUUGGGGGAGGCUUCUCCAAUUACUUAAUGCUUUGCCUGAUCAUCCUCUUAAGAAAAAUGAAAUAUUGGAUAUAUUUUAUAAUGGACUAAGUGAUGCUUCCAGAGAUUACCUGGAUAGUUGUGUUGGUUCUGUUUUCAAGGAAAGAACACCGGAUGAAGCUGAAAUUCUAUUGAAUAAUAUGUUGACAAAAGAAAAUAAUUGGACACUUCCUGAGCCAGCUCCUGAGCCUAUUCCUAAACCAACUCCGAAGAAGAGGGGUAUUCUAUUUCUCAGUCCUGAAGAUAUGCAAGAGGCAAAGAAAUCCAUGAAAGAAAAGGGUAUUAAAGCUGAAGAUGUUAAGAAUUUACCUCCUAUUGAAGAAAUACACGGUCUUAAUUUACCGCCUGUUGAAGAAACAUAUGAUCUUAAUCCAUUACCUAUUGAAGAAAUACAUGGUCUUGAUAACCCGACACAAGUAGUAAAGGUAAACUCUCUCUAUAGAUAUGAUAAAAUUGAAAUCCCUCUUACUAAGUUUGCUAGCCAAUGCUUAGAUGAGUUUGAUAAUUUUAUGGUGAAGCAAGAAGAUUUUAAUUCUUAUUUUGGUAGACAAUUGAAAUACAAUUCAAAUAUGCUUGAACACUUGGGUGAUUAUAUGGCUAAUGUUAAAGGUGAAAUUAAACUUAUUAGCAAACAUGCUUCUAUGGUUACCACUCAAGUAGAACAAGUACUUAAAGCUCAAAAUGAUUUGCUCAAUGAACUGAAUAGUAAGAAUAAUGAUAAUGCUGUUAGAGUUAUGACUAGAGGUGGUAAAAUGACUCAAGAACCUUUGUAUCCUGAAGGCCAUCAUAAGAGAAUUGAGCAAGAUUCUCGGAGAAAUAAUAUAGAUGCACCUAGUUCUUCUAAAAGGAAGAAAAAGAAAAAUGAUAGGACUUUGCAUGCUUCUAGUGAACCUAUUGAUGAAACACCUGAGAAUCCAAAUGAUAUUUCUAUUUCUGAUGCUGAAACACAAUCUGGUAAUGAACCUGAAACUAGUGAUAAUAUUAAUGAUAAUGUUCAUGUUGAUGCUCAACCUAGCAAUGAUAAUGAUAUAGAAAUUGAACCUGUUGUUGAUCUUGAUAACCCACAAUCAAAGAAUCAACGUUAUGAUAAGAGAGACUUUGUUGCUAGGAAACAUGGUAAGGAAAGAGAGCCUUGGGUUCAGAAACCCAUGCCUUUUCCUCCCAAACCAUCCAAGAAAAAGGAUGAUGAGGAUUUUGAGCACUUUGCUGAAAUGAUUAGACCUACCUUUUUGCGUAUGCGAUUAACUGAUAUGCUUAAAAUGAAUCCUUAUGCUAAGUACAUGAAAGAAAUUGUUACUAAUAAAAGAAAGAUACCGGAAGCUGAAAUUUCCACCAUGCUUGCUAAUUAUACUUUUAAAGGUGGAAUACCUAAGAAACUAGGAGAUCCCGGAGUACCAACUAUACCAUGCUCCAUUAAAAGAAAUUAUGUUAAAAUUGCUUUAUGUGAUCUUGGAGUCGGUGUUAGUGUUAUGCCUCUCUCUUUAUAUCAUAGACUUGAUUUGAAUAAGUUGACACCUACUAAAAUAUCUUUGCAAAUGGCUGAUAAAUCAACUGCUAUACCUAUCGGUAUUUGUGAGGAUGUGCCUGCUGUGGUUGCAAACGUUACUAUUUUAAUGGACUUUGUUAUUCUUGAUAUUCCCGAGGACGAUAGUAUGUCUAUUAUUCUUGGAAGACCCUUUUUGAAUACUGCAGGGGCUGUUAUUGAUUGCAACAAAGGCAAUGUCACUUUUCAUGUUAAUGGUAAUGAGCAUACGGUACACUUUCCGAGGAAACAACCUCAAGUCCACAGUAUCAAUUCUAUUGGAAAAAUUCAAUCGAUUAUUUUUGAAGGUUUUGAAUUUCCUCUUCCUACUGUCAAAAGAAAUAUGAUAUUCUUAUUAUUGGGGAUGUGCAUAUCCCCGUUGAGGUAACAUAGUGUUAUUCGAAAUUCCUCCGGUUCCAUGUUAUUCGGAAUGAGUUUGCUAACAAGACUUGAUCAACCAUGUUAACGGAUUCCUUUUGAUGAGCAUGAGAUGGAUGAAACUAGAAGGCACAACUCUCCGUACCCUCCUUUUACUUUCUGUUAUUUAUAUUAAAUAAAAUUAAAAGAAGUAUUUUCCGUCUGUUAUCUGAUUUAUCCGUGCAAUAUAAAAUACCCCGAAAAUAAAAGUUCUCCAAAUGCCUUGAAAUUUAAAUAUGAUUUUUUCUGGAAUAUUUGAGAAUAUUUGGCACUAAGAACACAACACAGGGGGCAUCCACCUGGCCACGAGAGUGGAGGGCGCGCCCUACCCCCCCUGUGCGUGCCCCUUGCCUCGUGGGCCCACGGUGGCCCUCCUCCACUUAUUCCUGCACCCACACACUCCUUCCUCCCAUAAACACGAUUAUCCAGUUCGAACCCAAGUCCAAGCUCAUUUUGCUGCUAUUUUCGAUCUCCUUGCUCAAAGCACCUCUCACAAAACUGCUUGGGGGGAUUGUUCCUUGGUAUGCGACUCCUCCAUUGGUCCAAUUAGUUUUUGUUCUAGUGCUUUAUUCAUUGCAAAUUUAUGUUGUCUAGGUGCCCAUGUUCCUGAGCUUGCAUGUCAAAUUUAUGUGGUUCCAACUAGUUUUGAUGCAUGAUAUAGGCUCUAGGCACUUGUAGGAGUUGUUGCUAUCAAUUUUGUUGAGCUUGGCUCACUUUUAUUUGAAGUUACUAAAAAUUUCAGAAUUUUUCAGAAAAUAAUGAAGAGAUUUUUGAGGGGCUCAUCAAGCCGAAGCUCGAAGGAAAAGCAAAAUGAAAAAGCAGAGAGGCCCGAAUAUAAUCUGCCUCGCACCGCAGAGGUUCGGCCGUGUGAAUGGCCUUCCAAUGAUUUCUUGAGAGCAGUCGGGAUUUAUGAUGAUUUUUAUGAAUUGGCUGAGAAUGUAGGCCUCACCGCCUUCCUCCAUGACCAACGCGAACAAUAUCUCUUACUCACCAAUAUCUUUGUGCAAAACUUUCAUUUCCAUGCUAGGAGCUCACCACCUACGGUGGAGUUUUAUUUGUAUGAUGAGCACAAGGAGAUGUCACUUUACGAUUUCUGUCGGGUUUGAUUGAUCCCUUUCGAGGGCACAAUAGAGGAACCACACCGCGGUGAUGUGGAUGGGUUUAUAGAUACCAUCACUGUAGGGGAAACGAGGAAGGUUUCCGAUGCACGAAUCACUAGCAUACAUUUUCCUGUUUUACGCUACUUUGCAAUAUUUGCUAGUCGUUGCUUAAUUGGUCGCGAAAACUGUGGAAACCUUAGUGUUCCUGAUAUUAUUAUUUUGUUCCACGGUUUAUUCUGUGAUAAAUCUGUUAGUAUGGGCGGUAUUAUUGCUAAACGGUUAAGUCUCAACUGUACAAAGGGCCCCAUCUUUGGAGGCAUCUAUGCUUCACGCCUAACUGCGCAUUUUAACAUACCUAUUAAGCAUUAUGAGAAGGAAGAAAAAUUGCUGCCCCUGUUUAUUUAGAUUAUAAGAGUAUGGUGGCACACGAUUUUAUUGUUAAGAAUAGGAAAGGGGAGCUUAAAUACAAAUUGUUCUUUGAUAAACAUCAUCCUGAGACUAUUACCCUGCCUACUCCUUCCUUGUUUGAUUUAUCUCCAGGCAAGUACCUUGUUCCGUUAGAGGCUAUUCACGCCUACCGGAACAUUGCAUCAGCCACAGAGCCAGAGUCGGAACCACUAGUUGAUCCUCCACGACAGUCUAAUUACCAUUGGGAUCCAGAAAUGAUAGCCACCAGUGGAAAUCAGAGUCUUCUUCGCAGUACGACCCCAACUAUUACUAUGGAUAUCCGCCAGGCCAGCCGUGGCCAUAGACCAACUUAGGUCAAAAGCCUAAACUUGGGGGAGUACGUAUUUCCCGCCGACAUUACAUUCAUGUUCGCACACUCAUUGCUAGAUGUCGGUGCUCAUACUUUUUCAUUGUAUCAUCCAUGCUAGUUCAUUUCCUUUUUAAGCUUUCUUCUUGUGUGUUUAAUAAACCUUAAGAAAAACCAAAAAAACUAGUUGUAGCUUUUAGCUAGUUUUAAUUUCCAUGCUUGUAGUAGUAAUUAAAAAGAAAACCCAAAAAAAGAUUUCUUGUUCUUGUUUUGCUCGUUGGGAGCUUUCCCGUGUAAAUAGUUUUAUUUCUUUUCUUUGGGGGUCGAUAGGAGAAUACCAUGAUUAAAUUGUUGAAGUGGCUCUUAUAUAUAUUUUUUAUCUGACAAAAGAGCCCAUAUUGCCUUGUCUUCUCCAGUUUAUUGAAUGCUUGCAGAUUCCAGCUUAGUCCAAUGCACGCGCACUAUUAUUAUUAUCCACAUCGUUCGGUCGUGCAAGUGAAAGGCAAUUAUGACAAUAUAUGAUGGACUGACUGAGAUGAGAAAAGCUGGUAUAAACUCAACCUCUCUUGUUUUUGUAAAUAUGAUUAGUUCAUCGUUCCUGAUUCAGCCUAUUAUGAAUAAACAUGUUUGCAAUGACAACUAGAGAUCAUAGUUUCUUGUGCCAUGCUUGAUUAGCUAGGAGCUUAUAAUGGUUUACCUUGCGUGCCAACAUGCUAUUAAAAUGGUUGUGAUGUGGUAUGAUAGGGUGGUAUCCUCCUCUGAAUGAUUUGAGUGGCUUGACUUGGCACAUGCUCACGCAUGUAGUUGAAAUAAAAUCAACAUAUCCUCUACGAUAUUUAUGUUCAUGGGGAAUUAUAUCCUACUCAUGCUUGCAUUUGGUGUUGAUUAAUUUUAAUGCAUGUUUAUGAGUGUUGUCGCUCUCUAGCUGGUUGCUUCCCAGUCUUUUGCUAGCCUUCACCUGUACUAAGCGGGAAUACUGCUUGUGCAUCCAAUCCCAUAAACCCCAAAGUUAUUCCAUAUGAGUCCACCAUACCUACCUAUUUACGGUAUCUACCUGCCGUUCCAAGUAAAUUUGUAUGUGCCAAACUCUAAACCUUCAAAUAAAUAUCAUGUUUUGUAUGCUCGAAUAGCUCAUGUAUCAACUAGGGCUGUCUGUAUCUUCCAUGUUAGGCGGGUUAUUCUCAAGAGGAGUGGACUCCGCUCCUCACUCACGAGAAAAUGGCUGGUCACCGGGAUGCCCAGUCCCAUGCUUUAUGCAAAUCAAAUCAAAAUAAUUGCAAACAAAACUCUCCCUAGGACUCUUGUUAGUUGGAGGCACUCGUUGUUUUGAGCAAGCCAUGGAUUGAUGCUUGUUAGUGGAAGGGGAGUAUAAACUUUACCAUUCUGUUUGGGAACCGCCUAUAAUGUGUGUAGCAUAGAAUAUAUCGCCCUCUCUUGGUUGUUAUGUUGACAAUGAAAGUAUACUGCUCAAAAUAUUAUUCACCUCUAUUUCAAAACCGAGCUCUGGCACCUCUACAAAUCCCUGCUUCCCUCUGCGAAGGGCCUAUCUAUUUACUUUUAUGUUGACUCAUCAUCCUCUUAUUAAAAAUCACAAGUUGGAGAGCACCGCUGUCAUUUGCAUUCAUUACUGUUAGUUUACAUUGAGUAUGACUGGACUGGAUCUCUUUUACCAUGAAUUACAAUGUCUAGUCAGUCCUUGAUCUUUAAAGGUGCUCUGCAUUUAUGUUUUGCGGUCUCAGAAAGGGCUAGCGAGAUACCAUCUUGUUAUAUCAUAUCAUGAUUGUUUUGAGAAAGUGUUGUCAUCUGAGAUUUAUUAUAUUGCUCGCUAGUUGAUUAUGCCAUUGAUAUGAGUAAACAUGAGACCUAAAUGUUAUUGUGAAUAUGGUUAGUUCAUAAUCUUUGCUGAAAACUUGAAUGCUGGCUCUACAUAUUUACAACAACAAGAGCAAACAGAGUUUGUAAAAGUUUUUCUUUAUCACUUUCAGCUUAUCAACUGAACUGCUUGAGGACAAGCAAAGGUUUAAGCUUUGGGCAGUUGAUACGUCUUCGUCGUAUCUACUUUUCCAAACACUUUUGCCCUUGUUUUGGACUCUAACUUGCAUGAUUUGAAUGGAACUAGCCCGGACUUACGCUGUUUUCAGCAGAAUUGCCAUGGUGUUAUUUUUGUGCAGAUAUAAAAGUUCUCGGAAUGACCCGAAAAUCAACGGAGAAUUAUUUUGGAAUACAUAAAUAAUACUGGAAGGAAGAUCCACGUCAGGGGGGCCUCCACCUGUCCACGAGGGUGGGGGCGCGCCCUACCCCCCUGGUGCUACCUCUUGAGCACUGCGUUGGUUUUCCCUUGAAGAGGAAAGGGUGAUGCAGUAAAGUAGCGUAAGUAUUCCCCUCAGUUUUUGAGAACCAAGGUAUCAAUCCAGUAGGAGAUCACGCUCGAGUCCCACGCACCUACACAACCAAAUAAGAACCUCGCAACCAACGCGAUAAAGGGGUUGUCAAUCCCUUCACGGUCACUUACGAGAGUGAGAUCUGAUAGAUAUGGUAAGAUAAUAUUUUGGUAUUUUUAUGAUAAAGAGAAAUAAAGAUGCAAAGAAAAAUAAACGGCAAUAGAAAUAACUAAGUAUCACCUGGGCGCACCCCCUGCCUCGUGGGCCCCCUGACGCUCCACCAACCUCAACCCUGACUUCAUAUAUUCACUUUCGGGGAGAAAAAACCAGAGAGAAAGAUUCAUCACAUUUUACGAUACGGAGCCGCCGCCAAGCCCUAAACUCUCUCGGGAGGGCUGAUCUGGAGUCCGUUCGGGGCUCCGAAGAGGGGAAUCCAUCGCCAUCAUCAUCAUCAACCUUCCUCCAUCACCAAUUUCAUGAUGCUCACCGUCGUGCGUGCAUAAUUCCAUCGUAGGCUUGCUGGACGGUGAUGGGUUGGAUGAGAUUUAUCAUGUAAUCGAGUUAGUUUUGUUAGGGUUUGAUCCCUAGUAUCCACUAUGUUCUGAGAUUGAUGUUGCUAUGACUUUGCUAUGCUUAAUGCUUGUCACUAGGGCCCGAGUGCCAUGAUUUCAGAUCUGAACCUAUUAUGUUAUCAUCAAUAUAUGAGCGUUCUUGAUCCUAUCUUGCAAGUCUAUAGUCACCUACUAUGUGUUAUGAUCCGGCAACCCCGAAGUGACAAUAAUCGGGACCACUCCUGGUGAUGACCGUAGUUUGAGGAGUUCAUGUAUUCACUAUGUGUUAAUGCUUUGGUCCGGUACUCUAUUAAAAGGAGGCCUUAAUAUCCCUUAGUUUCUGCUAGGACCCCGCUUCCACGGGAGGGUAGGACAAAAGAUGUCAUGCAAGUUCUUUUCCAUAAGCACGUAUGACUAUAUUCGGAAUACAUGCCUACAUUACAUUAAUGAAUUGGAGCUAGUUCUAUGUCACCCUAGGUUAUGAUUGUUACAUGAUGAACCGCAUCCGACAUAAUUCUCUAUCACUGAUCCAUUGCCUACGAGCUUUCCAUAUAUUGUUCUUCGCUUAUUUACUUUUCCAUUGCUAUUGCUAUCAUCACUACAAAAUACCAAAAACAUUACUUUUGCUAUCGUUACCUUUUGCUGCCGUUACCACUACUAUCAUAUUACUUUGCUACUAAACACUUUGCUGCAGAUAUUAAGUUUCCAGGUGUGGUUGAAUUGACAAGUCAGCUGCUAAUAGUUGAGAAUAUUCUUUGGCUCCCCUUGUGUUGAAUCAAUAAAUUUGGGUUGAAUACUCUACCCUUGAAAACUGUUGCGAUCCCCUAUACUUGUGGGUUAUCAUUGCUCCUGCAGCGGGUCUUGCACAUAGCGGUGCUUCCAGGACGUAAUUCUUCUGUGUAGCAAUGAGGAUAAUCCUCAAGUUACGGACCUAGUCCAUGUAGUUGCUACCAUCAUCUUUCAACUUAGGUUUCUCUACGAACGCAUUAAAAUUCAAAGGGACAUUAGCACGGGCCAUUGAUCUACAACAACAUAGACAUGCAAACUACUAUCAGGUGCUAAGUUCAUGAUAAAUUAAAGUUCAAUUAAUCAUAUUACUUAAGAACUCCCACUUAGAUAGACAUCCCUCUAGUCAUCUAAAUGAUCACGUGAUCCAUAUCAACUAAACCAUGUCCGAUCAUCUCGUGAGAUGGAGUAGUUUCAAUGGUGAACAUCACUAUGUUGAUCAUAUCUACUAUAUGAUUCACGCUCGACCUUUCGGUCUCAGUGUUCCGAGGCCAUAUCUGCAUAUGCUAGGCUCGUCAAGUUUAACCCGAGUAUUCUGCGUGUGCAAAACUGGCUUGCACCCGUUGUAUGUGAACGUAGAGCUUAUCACACCCGGUUAUCACGUGGUGUCUCGGCACGACGAACUAUAGCAAUGGUGCAUACUCAGAGAGAACACUUGUACCUUGAAAUUUAGUGAGAGAUCAUCUUAUAAUGCUACCGCCGUACUAAGCAAAAUAAGAUGCAUAAAGGAUAAACAUCACAUGCAAUCAAAAUAAGUGAUAUGAUAUGGCCAUCAUCAUCUUGUGCCUUUGAUCUCCAUCUCCAAAGAACCGUUAUGAUCACCAUCAUCACCGGCUUGACACCUUGAUCUCCAUCGUAGCAUCGUUGUCAUCUCGCCAACUAUUGCUUCUACGACUAUCGCUACCACUUAGUGAUAACGUAAAGCAAUUACAUGGCGAUUGCAUUUCAUACAAUAAAGCGACAACCAUAAGGCUCCUGCCAGUUGCCGAUAACUUUUACAAAACAUGAUCAUCUCAUACAACAACUUAUAUAUCAUCACGCAAAAACAAGUUAGACGUCCUCUACUUUGUUGUUGCAAGUUUUACGUGGCUGCUACAGGCUUCUAGCAAGAACCGUUCUUAUCUACGCAUCAAAACCACAAUGAUUUUUCAUCAAGUGUGUUGUUUUAACCUUCAACAAGGACCGGGCGUAGUCAAACUCGAUUCAACUAAAGUUGGAGAAACAGACACCCAGUAGCCACCUGUGUGUGAAGCACCUCGAUGGAACCAGUCUCAUGAACGCGGUCAUGUAAUGUCGGCCUGAGCUGCUUCAUCCAACAAUACCGCCAAAUCAAAGUAAGACGUUGCUGGUAAGAAGUAUGACUAUUAUCGUCCACAACUCAUUGUGUUCUACUCGUGCAUAUAACAUCUACGCAUAGACCUGGCUCGGAUGUCAUUGUUGGGGAACGUAGUAUUUCAAAAAAAAUCAUACGAUCACGCAAGAUAUAUCUAGGAGAAGCAUAGCAAUGAGCGGGGAGAGUGUGUUCACGUACCCUCGUAGACCGAAAGCGGAAGCGUUUAGUAACACGGUUGAUGUAGUCGAACGUCUUUGCGAUCCAAUCGAUCCAAACACCAAACGUACGACACCUCCGCGUUCAGCACACGUUCAGCUUGAUGACAUCCCUCGAGCUCUUGAUCCAGUUGAGGCCGAGGGAUAGUUCCGUCAGCACGAUGGCGUGGCGACGGUGAUGAUGAAGUUACCGGCGCAGGGCUUCGCCUAAGAACUACGACGAUAUGACCGAGGUGUGUAACUGUGGAGGGGGGCAACGCCCACGGCUAAGAGAAACUUGUGUCUUUGGGGUGCCCCCCUCCCACGUAUAUAAAUGGGGGGAGGAGGCCGGCCCAAAGGGGGGCGCGCCACAUGUUGGGGGUCCUACUAGGACUCCCUAGUCCUAGUAGGAUUCCCCUCUCCUUUCCUUUUACGGAAGGGGGAAAGGGGGGAAGGAGAGGAGGGGAAGAGGGAAAGGGGGCACGCCCCCUCCCCUUCCUAUUCGGACUCCACUUGGGGGGACGCGCACGCCUCCCCCUUGUGGGUUGUACCCUCUUCUCUCCCAUGGCCCAUAAGGCCCAUGAUUUCCCCCGGGGGGUUCCGGUAACCUCCCGGUACUCCAGAAAAAUGCUCGAAUCACUCGGAAUCAUUCUGAUGUUUGAAUGCAACCUUCCAAUAUAUGAAUCUUUACCUCUCGACCAUUUCUGUGAUCUCAUCCGGGACUCCGGACAAACUUCAGUCAUCAAAUCACAUAACUCAUAAUACAAAUUGGCACGAACGUUAAGCAUGCGGACCCUAUGGGUUUGAGAACUAUGUAGACAUGACUGAGACACAUCUCCGGUCAUUAACCAAUAGCGGAACCUGGAUGCUCAUAUUGGCUCCUACAUAUUCUACGAAGAUCUUUAUCGGUCAAACCGCAUAACAACAUACGUAGUUCCCUUUGUCAUAUGUAUGUUAUUUGCCCGAGAUCCGAUCGUCGGUAUCCCCAUACCUAGUUCAAUCUCGUUACCGUCAAGUAUCUUUACUUGUUCCGUAAUGCAUCAUCAUGUAACUAACUCAUUAGUCACAUUGCUUGCAAGGCUUAUAGUGAUGUGCAUUACCGAGAGGGCUUAGAGAUACCUCUCUGAUACACGAAGUGGCAAAUCCUAAUCUCGAUCUAUGCCAACUCAACAAACACCAUCAGAGACACCUGUAGAGCAUCUUUAUAAUCACCCAGUUACAUUGUGACGUUUGAUAGCACACUAAGUGUUCCUCCGGUAUUCGGGAGUUGCAUAAUCUCAUAGUCAUAGGAACAUGUAUAAGUCAUAAAGAAAGCAAUAGCAAUAAAAUUAAACGAUCAUUAUGCUAAGAUAACGGAUGGGUCUUGUCCAUCACAUCAUUCUCUAAUGAUGUGAUCCCGUUCAUCAAAUGACAACACAUGUCUAUGGUUAGGAAACUUAACCAUCUUUGAUUAACGAGCUAGUCUAGUAGAGGCAUACUAGGGACACUCUGUUUGUCUAUGUAUUCACACAUGUACUAAGUUUCUGGUUAAUACAAUUCUAGCAUGAAUAACAAAGAUUUAUCAUGAUAUAAGGAAAUAUAAAUAACAACUUUAUUAUUGCCUCUAGGGCAUAUUUCCUUCAGGAAGAGCAUCGCGGGUGGGAGGGAGAAGGGGAAUUAAGAGAGUGUGGGUUUGGGUUUGGGCCUCCGCGUGCUAUGUGUACACAUGUGUUGGUGGGUCGAUAGUAGUGGUCCUGGGUUUAUACCCCACGCUACUACUAUGGCCUAUCCCGGGGGUACGGUAGAGACCGCUUAGUAGUAGCGAGGGAUUUAUACCCCUCACUACUACUAUCAACUUAGUAGUAGUGAGGGAUUUAUACCCCUCGCUACUACUAUCAACUUAGUAGUAGUGAGGGAUUUAUACCCCUCGAUACUACUAUGGCCAGUCCCGGGGGGCACGGUGGAGACCACUUAGUAGUAGUGUGGGGUUUAUACCCCUCGCUACUACUAUCAACUUAGUAGUAGUGUGGGUUCUAUACCCCUCGCUACCAAUAAUUAGCAGCAGUGUGGCCCAUAUACCCCUCGCUACGGUUAAGCAUCUAUCUAUAAAGUAUUUUCUAGUAGUGCAUCGAUGGCGGCGAAAUCAGUCGUUCUGCUUGUUUUCCCUACUAGCUCUCUGACGUCCAGAACAAGUUUACGGUCAUAAGGUGCAAUAACCUUGCCUUCAUGAGUGACACGAUGACACGGGAACAGGCUUCCAAGCCUAUGGUGUCGCAUCAUGUCGUGGUCUGCUAGACUUAGUGGACGAAUGCUACUACAAUAUCGGUUGAUCUCAUACUACAAUACCAAGGAAGACACGCAACUACUAUAUAUAUUUCUUCAAGUCAGUCAACACAAGUAAAAUCUGGGAGUUCAACUGGUGCAGCUAUGCAAUGCUAAUGGAGACAACACAAUUCAACUUUAGCACUUCACACAUAAGCAACACCACGUUCAAUGGCACACACCUUAGAGUGUACCUAUGGUGGUUGAUUGGGCUAUAAGAAAUGUGAGUCCAUGUGAAGAUGCCAAAUAUAAUAACACGGCUAAUUACACAUGCAGUGGCAGCAGCAACAAGUGCAUGAAUUCCACAAAUGAUCUAGGGUACACAUGCAACUGUGUCCUUGAGUAUGACAACAACCCUUAUCUUCUAGACAAAUGCAUGGUAUGCUACUAAUUUAUUUGCUAAAUAUUCCAAUGAAUUGUGUCCUUUACUUUGUACAUACCCAAUUAUAAUAUUUUAUUUUGCUAAUACAAUGUAGCCUUCAAUUUAAACCAAGGUUUGCAUCCAUUAAUUAUGUUAGGUUCAUAUGACUUCACUACAUAAAUAGGUAGAUAAUGCAUAAGACUGAGAUUGUAGCUAGGGAUGAAAAUCUAAAUACGGCAUGAAUCUAACAAUUAUGAGUAAUGUCUUUGUGACAAGAACUUUCUUUGUCUUUUAUUCCCAUGUUUGAACUAGUAUAGGUCAGGGUUACACAUUAUGGUGCACAUCACUUUAUUUGUCAUCGUUACAUUGAACACUCAUUGACUAAACAACGAUGAUCCAUCCGUCUUGUAUUACAGGUCUUCAUUUCAUUGGCCACCGAUGCUUGUAAGACUACUCCCAGAUGGUUGUUGUUGUGGAUAUGGUUGUUGAGGUUGGUGUGGUUGCUGGGGGAAUGGUUGUUGGGGUUGCUGGGAAAUUGUUUGUUCUAGUUGCUGGGAUAAUUGUUGUUGGGGCUGCAGAAAUGGUUGUUGUGGUUGUUGUGGUUGCAGGAUGGAGGGUUGCUGGGAAAAUGGUUGUUGCGGUCGUAGGGGGAAUGGUUGUUGUGGUUGUAGAGGGAAAGGUUGUUGUGGUUGUUGAGGGAAUGGUUGUUGUGGUUGUUGGGGGAAUGAUUGUUGUGGUUGCAGGGGGAAUGGUUGUUGUGGUUGCUGGGGGAANNNNNNNNNNNNNNNNNNNNNNNNNNNNNNNNNNNNNNNNNNNNNNNNNNNNNNNNNNNNNNNNNNNNNNNNNNNNNNNNNNNNNNNNNNNNNNNNNNNNNNNNNNNNNNNNNNNNNNNNNNNNNNNNNNNNNNNNNNNNNNNNNNNNNNNNNNNNNNNNNNNNNNNNNNNNNNNNNNNNNNNNNNNNNNNNNNNNNNNNNNNNNNNNNNNNNNNNNNNNNNNNNNNNNNNNNNNNNNNNNNNNNNNNNNNNNNNNNNNNNNNNNNNNNNNNNNNNNNNNNNNNNNNNNNNNNNNNNNNNNNNNNNNNNNNNNNNNNNNNNNNNNNNNNNNNNNNNNNNNNNNNNNNNNNNNNNNNNNNNNNNNNNNNNNNNNNNNNNNNNNNNNNNNNNNNNNNNNNNNNNNNNNNNNNNNNNNNNNNUGGUUGCAGAGGGAACGAUUGUUGGGUCUGGGGAAAUGGUUGUUGUGGUUGCCAGGAAAAUGGUUGUUGGGGCUGUGGAAAAGGUUGUUGUGGUUGUUGGGGUUGCUGGGGGAAUGGUUGUUGUGGUUGUAAGGGGGUCGGUUGUUGGGGUUGGGGAAAUAAUUGUUGUGAUUGCUGGGGAAAUUGUUGUUGGGGUGUGGAAAAUGGUUGUUGUGAUGGAUAUGGUUGCUGUGAUGGAUAUGGUUGUUGUGGAUAUGGCUGUUGUGGAAAUAGUUUUUGUUGAUGGGAAAAUGAUUGUUGAGGUGAUUGUAACUCUUUGUUGUUAGGGUUUAGUUGCCUAGCGGCAAUGGCGGUGUUCAUCGCCAUGGCAAGGAGGACAAAGAUGAGGAAGGUCUUCAUGUUGGAUUUGUGGUUACUACUGCUUGCUUGCCUUUGAUGCUUGUGGUCUAGGUGUGUGAAGUUUUGUUGAUGGAAGGUGUCCUUGGUGGUGCAUGUGUAUUUAUAGUUUUCAUGGCAUGGCUUGCUUUCAUCUUUGCACUCGCUCUUUGAAAAAGUGCAUCAAUGCUUAUCCAACUAAUCAUUUGGUUUGUUGUGUUUGGUGCAACUACUUACUAGUGAGAUUUUGGAUUUUCAUGAUAGUUGUUUUUUGUUGAAAUCAUCUGGUUGUAAGGAAUGUUGGAUAAUGACCAAUGACUCAUCUUCUUCACUUUACACUGCAAACAUUGAUCUAGAUUAUGUCCCUUUUUGAAAUUUAGUUUGUGGAGCUCUACAUGUUGUUAGGCUUAUCCAUAUUGGCAUAGCUUGAGUGGAGCUAAGUUUGUAAGCUUGUGUGCGCCAUUAUGAUGGAUCACACUAUUAAUGUGAUGAUUGUUUUACAAAUUAUCUUUCCAAAACUAACUUUAUGUUUUUUGCCCAAUAUGAUUCUAAGACGGAUAACCAGACAUGACUCAUCAAAUAACAAGAUAAACCGAGUAGCAAGUUGGGGGUUAUAAGUUAUAAUAUGGACUUUUCUCUAAGAUACACCAUCUUGUCUUGCAUGCUCUGUGGAUUUGAAAAGCAUCUACUAAUUUAGAUGCAAUUGAAACAAAAGUAGACUAAAAAGGUAAGCAAUGAAAUGAGAAUACUAUUAUGUGAAGCUCUACAUGUCUGGUAAGCAGUGAGAUACUGGAUACAUCUAUAUCUUCAAUCCUUUCAUCCCUAUCAACUCUUUAUUGGCUGCUUUUAUCGUAGUCAUCCCUUAAAUAAAAAUCACUUAAAUAUAAGUUUGGGAGUUAGUACCAACAUAUAUCAUGUACAAGAUAGAAAACUAAGGCACAUAUAGUAGUCUAUUGACCAUAUUUAAUUUCUUGUGAUGUGAAAGCAUGUGGAGUAUAAGUUGGUUAAAUAUAAAGUUGUCCUUCAUACCAGUAGGGAAAGAAUAUGCAGUAUAAAGAUUAGAGCAUUGGACUAAUAUGCUAUUAAAUGCUACAGGAUAAUUGACAGUUCAAGUUAAGAACAACAUUAGCAUUCCAACUUUUGUCUUGUGCAAGUUAAGAACAUGCUAACAAAGUAACCUAAGCAAAUAAGUGCAAAACCUUCACCUAUAAGGAAAUUGUGAAACUACACAAAAUGACCUAUUGUAAAGAAGGAAAAAAAUCUAAAGGUGAAUGAAAGAACGUUAAGUACAUUCAGGAUUCGAUUAUGCCUUCAUGGAUAACCUUUUAGAUGGUGACAUGUCCAUGUUGAUGUGUGUCGGCAUGGAACGAGGACAAGAAGACGUCGUUGCGUCGUACUUUGGGAAUUUCAUCAAACUGGUUGUGUGCGGGAACAAAUAUUUGUCGCCUCCCUGCUCAAAUCUCUCUUCAUGUCACUGAAUCCGACACUCCACCUACCAAAAUCAGCUGCAAGCCAGGGAUAAUCAACGGGUUUCUCCGCCCGUAGCAUCUAUCACCAAAAGUAGUUCAGACUAUAGUCUUGUAGUUCAAAAUUUUGUAAUAACAAGCACUACUAGGUUGCUUUUGUUUGUACGUCUUCAUUCUGUACAACCCAUGGAACUAAAAAUGCAUUGGUCAUUCUUUGUUCUAUACAACCAAUUCAACCAAAAAUGCAUUGGGCUUUUCUUUGUACAUCUUCGGGUUCUACAACCAAUGCAACAAAAAAUCCAUUGGGUAGUCUUCCAUUCUAGUCGGGCACCAACAGUUAAAUGAGGAGCUAAACAAUGUUGGAGUCUAAAACUACAUACAAUCAUGAAGCAUAGAGAGGCGACUUGGAAGCUGUGCUCCUGUGAGCUCGUAUUUUUGUAGACAAAAAGUAAUGUUUGUAUUUUGAAGUGGGAAAAAAUCCUAAAAAGGGAUGUUUUGCGGGUUAUAACUUACUAUUUUUGGGUCCUGGGCUGCAGGAAGGUCGUCAAAAUCAAUGUGUUUUCCCAUUCAAUGCAUGUUUCUUGGGUUAUAGGUCACGCUUUUGGUGUCCUAGGGAGAUCACUUCCCCGGUCAAGAACAUUAGGUGAUGAUUUUUAGAAAAACUCAUUGUUUUAGCCUAACUAGUUUCGAGGAUUGGUGGACGGGAUUAUCAUGGAACAAAGUGACAACCUUCCUUUUCUUCAUGCCUAAUAUAAACUUAGCAGUCAGCUAAAAGUAACUAGCGAUAUCACAGAAUGUUUUUUGUCAAAAGUAGAUACCACUUCAGGAUUCAACUCGGUUAGUUCAAUCACAGACAUGUUAAGAGCAGGAUUUACAACUAACUGCAUAGGGAACAUCUCCUUUUAUCACCCACUAUCUGUCUGUGCACUUUGGUUUUCCCGUAGCAUCACACAAAGCACUUUGUUAGUACCAAUAAUGUGCUCCAACUCUACACAUUAAUCAUCUUGAAUUCUUCUACUGAUGUCGAACAAUGUAAUAUCUUGAAUUCUUCUAACGAGUUCGGAUUAGACUACAUGGGCAAUUUAUCUGGUCCCUGAGAUGCAAGGUCGAUGAACAAUCGCUUCGUCUUAUGACGAGGGGUUGUUUUUGCCUAAGAAACUAAUACAUGUAACUUCGACACCGGAUUAAUAAAUGGUAAAACCUAAAUAAAUUAGAUCACGAGCUAAACCAUUUACUUUUGUAUGCAUUUAAACUUUUGAUACAUAUGAGCUUGUUAAGAUGUUCGCAUAAACACCAUGGUGAUUUGAAGCAAGACAAAGUAAACUUGAACCGCUUGAGCCACUGACUUAAUAAGAACCUCCUUUCCCGCGGCAGAGAUUGUUUUUAAUACAUCCACUCACUUUGGCCCAUAGUUUGUCUUUGAGAUACUUAAAAGCACUAGACAUAGAAUUGACAAUAUUAGAAGGCAAGCCCAAAUAUUUCACAUUUAGUGUUUCUACUUGGACACUGAGACCACCUUUGACCUCAUUUUUGACAUUCUCUCUGCAAUCCUUGCUGAGAAACACUGAAGGCUUCCUAUUUAUUUAUUCUUGACCUAAAGCUUCAUUGCGUCUUGCCUUGGUCUUGCACUACUUGCGGCACAAUACGCCUUUGGAACUGCCGUUCCGAAUUCAGAGUGCCGAAGGUGGUGUGACGAUGUUGAGAUACCGUACUCGUUCGGUAGUGAUUCGGGUUGAUCAUUCAGAGUAGACUUUGACAAUAGCUGCAAGGACAAGAUUGCAUUAGGGAGCCUUUUAAUUACACCUCGGAGGUGCUCAGCAUCUUCUUGAUGAACAACAUGGUCCUAGUGUUGAAUAAUAUCAUAUGGGGUAGUGCUACAACAACUCCACCACAAGCAUGGAGGAAUUUAGCAAAUUCCAUCAGUACUAGGAGAAAGCCUAGUAGCAACGCGAGGUAAAGGACUACUAGUAGCGCGGGUGCCCACGCUACUACUAGGGUGCUACAGCUAAUUGGUAGUAGUAGCGUGGGUGACACCCUGCGCUACUACCACGUCUGUUAGUAUAGUAGCGCGAGUGUCACCCGCACUACUACUAGUUAUCUGUAGCCCGGGUCUGACCCCACGCUACUACUAACUAAUUAGGAAUUAAAAAAAUAAAUUCCAUCCAUGGUUGCUGCUGCUGGGCGUCAUCGUCCUCUCCGUCCAUGGCUGAUGUUGGUCCUGGAGGGGAUGACGUCGUCCAUGGUGAUGGUACUUCCUCACCCAAAUCGUCCCCACACCUCUCCUAUGCUACUGCUACAAAAUAAGAGAAAACGAUUAGAAGAGGAAGAGAGAUAUUGAGAGGAGUAGGAGGAGCAACUGACCGGUGGCCGCCGGAGUUGGAGCUGAUGCCCGAAACCCUAGACGAUGCCCGGUGACCUGUUGCUUCUUUUCCUGGGACCUCAUGUCCUCACAAGGCCAUGUCUCAGCGAGGAAGUGCAAGUGGUUGCGUAGCAGAUCUGUUCAUCGCCAUUGGUGGCGCUCUGUUGGAUCUUCCUCUCCUUCCAGCAUCGGAGAAGGAGGAGGAAGGAGGCGAAGGUGAGGCGUAAGUCAGUGGCCCAAAAUUUUUAUAUAGAUGAGACUUACUAAGUAAUAACCCCAUAGAAUCUAUCUAUAUAAAGAUAAAGAGGCAAUCGUGUCAGGAAGCGGGUUUUUCUUUGGCCAAAAGGUACUUAGAACUUGGAACGAGCAUGAAGAGAUUAACGAGACUUCUUUCUCUUUUGAGUUUUUCUGGCGGACCUGCCGCGCAAGAUCUUUGGUCUUCCCCUGGAACCGAUGAAAAAAAGUGGAUUGCUUCUUAUGUACUCGCUCAGCUUAAGAUGCUCGCAUAAUCCCCGUGGUAAUUUGAAGCAAUACAUAGAGUAAACUAGAACUGCUUGAGCCACUAACUUAAUGAGAACCUCCUUUCCCGUAGGAUAUAUCAUUUUUUCAAUCCAUCCAUUCACUUUGGCCCAUAGUAUGUCUUUGAGAUACUUAAAAGCAGUAGAUUAGAAUUACCAAUAUCAUAAGGCAAGCCCAAAUAUUUCUCAUUUAGUGUUUCUGUUGGACACUGAGAACACCUUUGACCUCAUAUCUAACAUUCUCUACACAACCCUUGCUGAGAAACACUGAAGACUUGCUAUUAUUUAUUCUUUGACCUGAAACUUGGCAAUAGGUUUGACACAUCUGUCGCCCCUGAACCAUUUGCCUUGAAAAACAGCAGGCUGUCAUCUGCAAAUAACAAGUGGUUAACUGAUGCCACCAAAGGAGCUACUUGGAUUCCAGUAAACUGGGAUGACUAGUCUCUAGAUUUGAGGAGGCCCGAAAGGCCAUGUACUGCUAACAGGAAAAUCAAGGUGAAUUGGAUCUUGCUGCCGUAUACCACGGGUAGGUUUGAGCUCAUCAAGUUUCUUGCUCUUGAAUAAAAUUGAAUAAGAUACAGAAGCUACCAUGCUCAUUUCUAUGGAGGCCCAUUUAACAGAGAAUCCAAAGUUGAGAUUUAUCACCUCCAAAUACGCCCAUUCAACUAGAUUAUAAGCCUUCAUCAUAUCCAAUUUUAGAGUACAAUGGUGAUGUUACAAUGACUUAUUCCUUUUCAUGAAAUGUAAGCACUCGUAGGCCACGAUUAUAUUGUCAGUGAUAAGGCGACCCGGAACAGAAGCCGACUCUUCACUCAAUAUUAUCUCCGGAAGGGCCCCUUUUAGCCGGUUAGCCAGAACUUUGGGUGUUAUUUGUAAAGUUGCAUAGGCUAAUACGACAGAACUGGCUUAGGAAAGUACCAUUUUGUACCUCAUCACUAUCCUCGCCACAAUACAAAGGACAACCAUUGUUACCUCCUCGCCGCAAAUAUCCCAAUGUUUCUCAAAGAAAUGUUCAAAGAAUCCGUCCGGGCCCAAGGCCUUCAUGCGGAACAUUUGAAACAAUACAAUUUAAACCUUGUUGUAGAAUACUUAGCGUCAAGGAAGGCAUUCAUCGCAUCACUGACCUUUACUGGAACCAAGUCAGGAAAUCAUGCAUAUUAGAAACAGUCUCAGAAGUGAAAAGCUCCGAGUAAAACUAUGUUGUGAUCUCUUCCAAUUCCUUAAGAACACUGAUAACAUCACAUUAGGUUGCUACAAUGAUUUGGUCAAAUUAUUCCGCCUUCUCAUCGAAGCCCUUAAGUGAAAGAAGCAUGUGGUCUUGUCCCCACUAAUCAGCCACUUAAUCUGAGAUCUAGUAGGCAAGAUGAGUGACGGGAAGUAGUUCGGAACAAUUUCCUCUUAUUCACUUCUAAAACAAAUUUUCGGUUUUUGUCGUUCCUAAGCCAAGGAUUUGAUAAAUAUUCAUAAAUUUUUAAAAUGUUCACCAAUAUUAAAAACAUCAUGAUUUUAAAAAACCGUGAUUUUUAAACAAAAUCAUAAAUAUGAAAAUUGCCAUUCACAAAAUUUUAAAAUAAAAUCAUGAAUUUUAAAAGAAUUUUCAAAAUUUUGAUAAAUAUCUACGAAUUUUACAACUUUGAUGAAUUUUAAAAACAAACCAUAACAAAAAAACACUAGCAAGUUCGAUCCUAAAAAAUGCCUUGCCUUCUACUAUGCGUAGCGUGCAUGGACAGCCGGACCUAGACACCCUAGACCAAAAACCCUACAUCUGGGCCAGGCCCGAGCUCCAUUUUUUGGCCCAAAGCCCAGCCCAAAAAGGCAGAAAUGGUAAGAAAUGUAUACUUUAUUCAAAAUAUAGGUAUAUUAUAUUGUUUUAGUAUCUCAAAUAAUUAUUUAAAUUGAAAAAUGUCGUUGUUCAUGUGUUUCUGGACGGGCCAAGCCAGGCUCAUGCUUGGGAUUUUUGCUUCGGGCUUUGACAACCUGGCCCGGGGUAUGAUCAAGUUCAGCAUGGCCCAGUCACACACCCUUGUACAACAUUUUGUUGUAGAGAGCGGCAAAUAUAAUUUUCCCGAUCUAAUAUUGCUCGCUAUAAGUCUAUAUCUAUACUUUUUUCUAUACCCAUACUAAUAAAGCAAGGUGCGUUUCCCCAAUUUUUUCAUUCAUUCACUGUCGAAAACAAUUAUGUUUCCUAUCCGAGGUGGUCCUAAAUUCUUAUGCGUUCAUCUGCUAAAAGAAAGGCUUUUCCGGAAUUUCUUACGUGGGUUGCGCGCUAUGGCCAGUGAAGUCAGCCCACUUAUUUUUCUGCCCAUGCAGCUCUAAAAAAUCUAUUUAACACACAGGGCAAGAAAUAGUCGGCACUUCAAACUGGAAAACAAAUAAUGGGCUAGCCAAUUUUUCUUUGUUUCUGUGUUUUAUUUCUAUUUUUAUUCUCCUUCCCCGAUUUCUUUUUUCACUUCCAAGUUUACAUUUCUUAUAGAAUUUAUUUUAUAAAUUCAAAAUUCUCAAAAAACAUAGAGAAUUUUAAAAAAAUGGAAAAUGUUCAUAACUCCAAUUUUUUUGCUAUUUAAAUUUUUUUCAGAACUUGAAUUUUUUCCCUUUUUCCGAAAAUUUUAUUGUUUUUUAAAAUUGUUAGAGAUUUCUAAAAAGAAAAUGGAAAUUUAAAAAGUCUUCCAAAUUCGAAAAAAAAUCAUGUUUUAGUGAAAUUUUCACAACUCAAAUUAUUCUUAAAAAAUACACAUUUUAAAAAGUAAGGAUUUUCAAUACAUGUUCCCGUUCUAAAAAAAUGUUGACAAAUUCAAAUAAUGUUCAUGUUUUUAUUUUAAAAGUUCGUGUUUUCAAAAAUGUUUGUAAAUUCUAAAAGAUGUUCCUAUUUCAUAUUUUGUUCAUGUUUUUCUGAAAGUGUACCUAAUUUUCAAAAAACUGUUCAGGAUUUAAAAAAUGGUUCAUGUUGCCUACAAUAUUGAGAAACUUCAUACCUUAAAAUCUCCUCGAUUGAAGGAACCAUAGAUUGAAUAAUUCAUGGGCCUUCUCUGGUGGACGAUGACGUAGCAAAACUCUUAAAUGCCCUCAAUCAAUGAAUGGAAAAAUAGCGAAUUGAGUACUUCACACCCAGCGAAACAAAGAAGCUAAAUGUUCCCUUUUUACGUGCGCACAGGGUUUUGCUUGCACAAAUAAUUCUCACUAACUUCCAAUGCAUACUAAUUUUUCUCCCAUUGCGAAGCACAAGCAUAUGUGCUAGUUUUAUCCACGGUGGUACUAAAUUUUUUUGAGUCCAUCUGCUAGAAAAAGGAAAAACAGUUUUGUCAAAAUUUUCGUACAUGGGCCGCGCGCGCUGUGGCCCAGCGAAGCUGGCCCAUUUAUUUCCGGCCGAAGCAGCUGAGAAUAAUUAUUUAACGCUUGGGGCGGCAAAUAGACAAAGUUUCGCAUAGGGCGCCAAAUAUUUGGUCGGCCCAUAUUUGUUUUCUCUCUAGUUUGUUUCUUUUUUUAUUUUCCUUUCUCCUUUUCUUAUCUCUUUACUUUUUCUUUUUUCCCUUUCAAGUUAAUUUUUCUUUUCUCCUUUUCCAUAAAUUAAAUUUUUCAAUAUUUCAGAAUUUUAGUUUUGGAUUAAAUUUUCGUAAAAUCUUCAUAAUUAUUUCUCCCCAUUUUGAAUUGUUUUUAAACUAUAAUUUUUUCUUCUUCUUCUUCCAAAAUUUAUUCAAAACUAUAGAAUAAAGUUCGCAUAUUAAUUUUUUUAUGCUUUCCAAAAUUGUUUGAUAUUUUCAAAAUAUAUUGCAUUAAAAAAUUAAAUAUUUAGAUUUUAUUGAAAUGUUAAUUCAAAGUAAUGUUUGUGUUUAAAAACAUGUUUUUCAAAAUUCUUUUCAAUGUCCAAAACACGUUUUCAUUUCCAAAAAAAAUCACGUAUUCAAAACAUGUUUGCUUUCUUAUAAUAGGUUCAUGUUUUCAAAAAACAUAAAUUUCAAAAAAAUUGUCACAUCUUAAAGAAUAUUCAAAAUAUCGUAAUUAUUACUUUAUUUUUUGAAAAAAAUCAAGAAAAACAGAAAAAAAAAUGUAUAUUAUGCUACAGUAUAUUCUUAAAAUUUCGCCCUCGCCAUUUGUUAGCAUGAGCUGUUUGUUCGAGUGGCUAGCAGCACGUGGUCGAGUUUUUGAGGUCAUGAGUUUGAUCCUUCAACUCAGUGGUUGUUUUGGAUUUUUAUUCACGCCUUACAAAUACAAGUCAUUUUGGUACCUGCCAGCGGCCUUGCCAGACUCGAACUGCCGUGCAUCCGACGUGCUAUUUGACGAUAAAAGAGAAUAUGUUGCUUGACUAUAAUUAAAAAAAUGUGGGCACAUGCCAAUAAAAGAGGAUAUGCUGGUUUGACUCUGAUUAAAAAAAUGUUGGCAAGUGAGCGUCGAAAUAAUUAAAGAGAAUAAACCCUGGUAAAGUAGGGACUACCUGGUUACGUGCUUAUUAUACCAAAGAAACGGGAUUUCCUGCAAUUAGUACUUCAACCGGUUACACCAUCAUAGGAGAGAGUAGUCGAAGCAACUAUGCCACGAAGGUCGCCGUGCUGCACAAAAUGAGGAGGCAACCGCAACCUAGACACGGAGGCAGACUCGGAGAAAAAAAAGCGCAAGUUGGGUGGUGGCCACCACUCCAGCAACCCCAUCAAUAUCAAGAACUCGUGGGCCAAACAUGAUCUCAAGAACAUCGCCGGGGAGACCUUUUGAUGGACACAUCAAUUAUCUCUCCUGAUACUUCUCGUUAAAAAUAUCUUUCUAGUUCUAACGCACGGGCAUAUGUGCUAGUGAUAUAUAAAAUAUGUUGUGCCAAUGAGCACACGGGCUAGCGAGACUCGCCAUGCUUUCAUGUCAUACCGGAGUCCAAACACUCAACUGGAGGGUCCAACCUUAGCGACAGAGUCUUCUUUUGUUGGGAGAAUCUAUAUAUCCGCGAGUGUUAUAUCUCGCAUCUGGUUUACGCGCAGUGCACCUAACCACUAGGCUUUGCCUUACAUUCAUGACAGAGUAGUAAAGCUAGAUUGUUUAAGUCCACACGAGUCAAGGUUUUCAAUGUUUCUUCUCCAUUUUUUUUCAUUUUUUCAUUUUUGUUUUUAUAUUUAUUUCUGUCGGGUUUGUUUGAUCCCUUUCGAGGGCAUAAUAGAGGAACCACACCGUGGUGAUGUGGAUGGGUUUAUAGAUACCAUCACUGUAGGGGAAACGAGGAAGGUUUUCGAUGCACGAAUCACUAGCAUACAUUUUCAUGUUUUACGCUAAUUUGCAAUAUUUGCUAGUCGUUGCUUAAUUGGUUGCGGAAACUGUGGAAACCUUAGUGUUCCUGAUAUUAUUAUUUUGUUCCACGGUUUAUUCUGUGAUAACUCUAUUAGUAUGGGCGGUAUUAUUCCUAAAUGGUUAAGUCUGAACUGUACAAAGGGCCCCAUCUUUGGAGGCAUCUAUGCUUCACACCUAGCUGCGCAUUUUAACAUAGCUAUUAGGCAUUAUGAGAAGGAAGAAAAAUUGCUACCCCCUGUUUAUUUAGAUUAUAAUAGUAUGGUGGCACAUGAUUUUAUUGUUAAGAAUAAGGAAGGGGAGCUUAAAUACAAAUUGUUCUUUGAUAAACAUCAUCCUGAGACUAUUACCCUGCCUGCUCCUUCCUUGUUUGAUUUAUCUGCAGGCAAGUACCUCGUUCCAUUAGAGGCUAUUCACGCCUACCGAAACCCUACAUCAGCCAUAGAGCCAGAGUCGGAACCACAAGUUGAUUCUCCAUGACAGUCUAAUUACCAUUGGGAUCCAGAAAUGAUUGCCACCAGUGGCAAUCAGAGUCUUCUUCGCAGUACGACCCCAACUAUUACUAUGGAUAUCCGCCAGGCCAGCCGUGGCCAUAGACCAACUUAGGUCAAAAGCCUAAACUUGGGGGAGUACGUAUUUCCCGCCGACAUUACAUUCAUGUUCGCACACUCAUUGCUAGAUGUCGGUGCUCAUACUUUUUCAUUGUAUCAUCCAUACUAGUUCAUUUCCUUUUUAAGCUUUCUUCUUGUGUGUUUAAUAAACCUUAAGAAAAACCAAAAACAUUAGUUGUAGCUUUUAGCUAGUUUUAAUUUCCAUGCUCGUAGUAGUAAUUAAAAAGAAAACCCAAAAAAAAGAUUUCAUGUUCUUCUUUUGCUUGUUGGGAGCUUUCCCGUGUAAAUAGUUUUAUUUCUUUUCUUUUCUUUGGGGGUCGAUAGGAGAAGACCAUGAUUAAAUUGUUGAAGUGGCUCUUAUAUGUAUUUUUGUUGAUCUGACAAAAGAGCCCAUAUUGCCUCGACUUCUCCUGUUUAUUGAAUGCUUGCAGAUUCCAGCUUAGUCCAAUGCACGUGCACUAUUAUUAUUAUCCACAUCAUUCGGUCGUGCAAGUGAAAGGCAAUUAUGACGAUAUAUGAUGGACUGACUGAGAUGAGAAAAGCUGGUAUGAACUCAACCUGUCUUGUUUUUGUAAAUAUGAUUAGUUCAUCGUUCCUGAUUCAGCCUAUUAUGAAUAAACAUGUUUGCAAUGACAACUAGAGAUCAUAGUUUCUUGUGCCAUGCUUGAUUAGCUAGGAGCUUAUAAUGGUUUACCUUGCGUGCCAACAUGCUAUUAAAAUGGUUGUGAUGUGGUAUGAUAGGGUGGUAUCCUCCUCUGAACGAUUCGAGUGGCUUGACUUGGCACAUAUUCACGCAUGUAGUUGAAACAAAAUCAACAUAGCCUCUACGAUAUUUAUGUUCAUGGUGAAUUAUAUCCUACUCAUGCUUGCAUUCGGUGCUGAUUAAUUUUAAUGCAUGUUUAUGACUGUUGUCGCUCUCUAGCUGGUCGCUUCCCAGUCUUUUGCUAGCCUUCACCUAUACUAAGCGGGAAUACUACUUGUGCAUCCAAUCCCAUAAACCCCAAAGUUAUUCCAUAUGAGUCCACCAUACCUACCUAUUUACGGUAUCUACCUGCCGUUGCAAGUAAAUUUGUAUGUGCCAAACUCUAAACCUUCAAAUAAAUAUCAUGUUUUGUAUGCUCGAAUAGCUCAUGUAUCAACUAGGUUUGUCUGUAUCUUUCAUGUUAGGCGGGUUAUUCUCAAGAGGAGUGGACUCCGCUCCUCACUCGCGAGAAAAUGGCUGGUCACCCGGAUGCCUAGUCCCAUGCUUUAUGCAAAUCAAAUCAAAAUAAUUGCAAACAAAAUUGCCCCUGGGACUCUUGUUAGUUGGAGGCACUCGUUGUUUCGAGCAAGCCAUGGAUUGAUGCUUGUUGGUGGAGGGGGGGUAUAAAAUUUUCCAUUCUGUUUGGGAACCGCCUAUAAUGUGUGUAGCAUGGAAGAUAUCACCAUCUCUUGGUUGUUAUGUUGACAAUGAAAGUAUACCGCUCAAAAUAUUAUUUACCUCUAUUUCAAAAUCGAGCUCUGGCACCUCUACAAAUCCCUGCUUCCCUCUGCGAAGGGCCUAUCUAUUUACUUUUAUGUUGAGUCAUCAUCCUCUUAUUAAAAUGCACCAGUUGGAGAGCACCGUUGUCAUUUGCAUUCAUUACUAUUAUUUUACAUUGAAUAUGACUUGACUGGAUCUCUUUUACCAUGAAUUACAAUGUCUAGUCAGUCCUUGAUCUUUAAAGGUGCUCUACAUUUAUGUUUUGCGGUCUCAGAAAGGGCUAGCGAGAUACCAUCUUGUUAUAUCAUAUCAUGAUUGUUUUGAGAAAGUGUUGUCAUCCGAGAUUUAUUGUUAUUGCUCGCUAGUUGAUUAUGCCAUUGAUAUGAGUAAACAUGAUACAUAAAUGUUAUUGGAAUAUGGUUAGUUCAUAAUCUUUGCUGAAAACUUGAAUGCUGGCUCUACAUAUUUACAACAACAAGAGCAAACAGAGUUUGUAAAAGUUUUUCUUUAUCACUUUCAGUUUAUCAACUGAAUUGCUUGAGGACAAGCAAAGGUUUAAGCUUGAGGGAGUUGAUACGUCUCCGUCGUAUCUACUUUUCCAAACACUUUUGCCCUUGUUUUGGACUCUAACUUGCAUGAUUUGAAUGGAACUAACCCGGACUGACGUUGUUUUCAGCAGAAUUGCCAUGGUGUUAUUUUUGUGCAGAAAUAAAAGUUCUCGGAAUGACCUAAAAAUCAAAGGAGAAUUAUUUUGAAAUAUAUAAAAAAUAUUGGAAGGAAGAUCCACGUCAGGGGGGCCUCCACCUGUCCACGAGGGUGGAGAGCGUGCCCUACCCCCCUGGUGCUACCUCUUGAGCACUGCGUUGGUUUUCCCUUGAAGAGGAAAGGGUGAUGCAGUAAAGUAGUGUAAGUAUUUCCCUCAGUUUUUGAGAACCAAGGUAUCAAUCAAGUAGGAGAUCACGCUCGAGUCCCGCGCACCUACACAAACAAAUAAGAACCUCGCAACCAAUGCAAUAAAGGGGUUGUCAAUCCCUUCACGGUCACUUACGAGAGUGAGAUGUGAUAGAUAGGAUAAGAUAAUAUUUUUGGUAUUUUUAUGAUAAAGAGAAAUAAAGAUGCAAAGUAAAAUAAACAGCAAUAGAAAUAACUAAGUAUCACCUGGGCGCACCCCCCUGCCUCGUGGACCCCCUGACGCUCCACCGACCUCAACCCUGACUCCAUAUAUUCACUUUCGGGGAGAAAAAAACCAGAGAGAAAGAUUCAUCAUGUUUUACGAUAUGGAGCCGCCGCCAAGCCCUAAACUCUCUCGGGAGGGCUGAUCUGGAGUCUGUUCGGGGCUCCGGAGAGGGGAAUCCGUCGCCAUCGUCAUCAUCAACCUUCCUCCAUCACCAAUUUCAUGAUGCUCACCGCCGUGCGUGAGUAAUUCCAUCGUAGGCUUGCUGGACGGUGAUGGGUUGGAUGAGAUUUAUCAUGUAAUCAAGUUAGUUUUGUUAGGGUUUGAUCCCUAGUAUCCACUAUGUUCUGAGAUUGAUGUUGCUAUGACUUUGCUAUGCUUAAUGCUUGUCACUAGGGCCCGAGUGCCAUGAUUUCAGAUCUGAACCUAUUAUGUUUUCAUCAAUAUAUGAGUGUUCUUGAUCCUAUCUUGCAAGUCUAUAGUCACCUACUAUGUGUUAUGAUCCGGCAACCCCGAAGUGACAAUAAUCGGGACCACUCCUGGUGAUGAUCGUAGUUUGAGGAGUUCAUGUAUUCACUAUGUGUUAAUGCUUUGGUCUGGUACUCUAUUAAAAGGAGGCCUUAAUAUCCCUUAGUUUCCGCUAGGACCCUGCUGCCACGGGAGGGUAGGACAAAAGAUGUCAUGCAAGUUCUUUUCCAUAAGCACGUAUGACUAUAUUCGGAAUACAUGCCUACAUUACAUUGAUGAAUUGGAGCUAUUUCUGUGUCACCCUAGAUUAUGACUGUUACAUGAUGAACCGCAUCCGACAUAAUUCUCUAUCACCAAUCCAUUGCCUACGAGCUUUCCAUAUAUUGUUCUUUGCUUAUUUACUUUUCCGUUGCUAUUGCUAUCAUCACUAUAAAACAACAAAAACAUUACUUUUGCUAUCGUUACCUUUUGCUACCGUUACCACUACUAUCAUAUUACUUUGCUACUAAACACUUUGCUGGAGAUAUUAAGUUUCCUGGUGUGGUUGAAUUGACAACUCAGCUGCUAAUACUUGAGAGUAUUCUUUGGCUCCCCUUGUGUCGAAUCAAUAAAUUUGGGUUCAAUACUCUACCCUCGAAAACUGUUGCGAUCCCCUAUACUUGUGGGUUAUCAUUGCUCCUGCAGCGGGUCUUGCACCUAGCGGUGCUUCUAGGACGUAAUUCUUCUGUGUAGCAAUGAGGAUAAUUCUCAAGUUAUGGACCCAGUCCGUGUAGUUGCUACCAUCAUCUUUCAACUUAGCUUUCUCUACGAACGCAUUAAAAUUCAAAGGAACAGUAGCAGGGGCCAUUGAUCUACAAUAACAUAGACAUGCAAAAUACUAUUAGGUGCUAAGUUCAUGAUAAAUUAAAGUUCAAUUAAUCAUAUUACUUAAGAACUCCCACUUAGAUAGACAUCCCUCUAGUCAUCCAAAUGAUCACGUGAUCCAUAUCAACUAAACCAUGUCUGAUCAUCACGUGAGAUGGAGUAGUUUCAAUGGUGAACAUCACUAUGUUGAUCAUAUCUACUAUAUGAUUCACGCUCGACCUUUCGGUCUCAGUGUUCCGAGGCCAUAUCUGCAUAUGCUAGGCUCGUCAAGUUUAACCCGAGUAUUCUGCGUGUGCAAAACUGGCUUGCACCCGUUGUAUGUGAACGUAGAGCUUAUCACACCCGGUUAUCACGUGGUGUCUCGGCACGAUGAACUAUAGCAAUGGUGCAUACUCAGAGAGAACACUUGUACCUUGAAAUUUAGUGAGAGAUCAUCUUAUAAUGCUACCGCCGUACUAAGCAAAAUAAGAUGCAUAAAGGAUAAACAUCACAUGCAAUCAAAAUAAGUGAUAUGAUAUGGCCAUCAUCAUCUUGUGCCUUUGAUCUCCAUCUCCAAAGAACCGUUAUGAUCACCAUCAUCACCGGCUUGACACCUUGAUCUCCAUCGUAGCAUCGUUGUCAUCUCGCCAACUAUUGCUUCUACGACUACCGCUACCGCUUAGUGAUAAAGUAAAGCAAAAACAAGUGUGAUGUCCUCUACUUUGUUGUUGCAAGUUUUACGUGGCUGCUACGGGCUUCUAGCAAGAACCGUUCUUAUCUACGCCUCAAAACCACAACAAUUUUUCGUCAAGUGUGUUGUUUUAACCUUCAACAAGGAUCGGGCGUAGUCAAACUCGAUUCAACUAAAGUUGGAGAAAUAGACACCCACUAGCCACCCGUGUGUGAAGCACCUCGGUAGAACCAGUCUCAUGAACGCGGUCAUGUAAUGUCGGUCUGAGCCACUUCAUCCAACAAUACCGCCAAAUCAAAGUAAGACGUUGCUGGUAAGAAGUAUGACUAUUAUCGUCCACAACUCAUUGUGUUCUACUCAUGCAUAUAACAUCUACGCAUAGACCUGGCCCGGAUGUCACUGUUGGGAAACGUAUUAUUUCAAAAAAAAAUCCUACAAUCACGCAAGAUAUAUCUAGGAGAAGCAUAGCAAUGAGCGGGGAGAGUGUGUCCACGUACCCUCGUAGACCGAAAGCGGAAGCAUUUAGUAACACGGUUGAUGUAGUCGAACGUCUUUGCGAUCCAACCAAUCCAAACACCUAACGUACGGCACCUCCGCAUUCAGCACACGUUCAGCUCGAUGACAUCCCUCGAGCUCUUGAUCUAGUUGAGGCCGAGGGAUAGUUCCGUCAUCGCGAUGGCGUGGCGACGGUGAUGAUGAAGUUACCGGCGCAGGGCUUCGCCUAAGCACUACGACGAUAUGACCGAGGUGUGUAACUGUGGAGGGGGGCACCGCACACGGCUAAGAGAAACUUGUGUCUUUGGGGUGCCCCCUCCCACGUAUAUAAAUGGAGGGAGGAGGCCGGCCCAAGGGGGGGCGCCACAUGUGGGGAGUCCUACUAGGACUCCCUUGUCCUAGUAGGAUUCCCCUCUCCUUUCCUUUUACGGAGGGGGAAAGGGGGGAAGGAGAGGAGGGGAAGAGGGAAAGGGGGGCACGCCCCCUCCCCUUCCUAUUCGGACUCCACUUGGGGGGGACGCGCACGCCUCCCCCUUGUGGGUUGUCCCCUCUUCUCUCCCAUGGCCCAUAAGGCCCAUGAUUUCCCCCAGGGGGUUCCCGUAACCUCCCGGUACUCCGAAAAAAUUCCCGAAUCACUCGGAAUCAUUCCGAUGUUCAAAUGCAACCUUACAAUAUAUGAAUCUUUACCUCUCAACCAUUUUCGUGAUCUCAUCUGGGACUCCGAACAAACUUCAGUCAUCAAAUCACAUAACUCAUAAUACAAAUUGGCAUCGAACGUUAAGUGUGUGGACCCUACGGGUUUGAGAACUAUGUAGACAUGACCGAGACACAUCUCCGGUCAAUAACCAAUAGCGGAACCUAGAUGCUCAUAUUGGCUCCUACAUAUCUACGAAGAUCUUUAUCGGUCAAACCGCAUAACAACAUACGUUGUUCCCUUUGUCAUAUGUAUGUUAUUUGCCCGAGAUUCGCUCGUCGGUAUCCUCAUACCUAGUUCUAUCUCGUUACCGGCAAGUCUCUUUACUUGUUCCAUAAUGCAUCAUCUGGUAACUAACUCAUUAGUCACAUUGCUUGCAAGGCUUAUAGUGAUGUGCAUUACCGAGAGGGCCCAUAUAUACCUCUCUGAUACACGGAGUGACAAAUCCUAAUCUCGAUCUAUGCCAACUCAAGAAACACCAUCGGAGACACCUGUAGAGCAUCUUUAUAAUCACCCAGUUACGUUGUGAUGUUUGAUAGCACACUAAGUGUUCCUCCGGUAUUCGGGAAUUGCAUAAUCUCAUAGUCAUAGGAACAUGUAUAAGUCAUGAAGAAAGCAAUAGCAAUAAAAUUAAACGAUCAUUGUGCUAAGAUAACGGAUGGGUCUUGUCCAUCACAUCAUUCUCUAAUGAUGUGAUCCCGUUCAUCAAAUUACAACACAUGUCUAUGGUUAGGAAACUUAACCAUCUUUGAUUAACGAGCUAGUCUAGUAGAGGCAUACUAGGGACACUCUGUUUGUCUAUGUAUUCACACAUGUACUAAGUUUCCGGUUAAUACAAUUUUAGCAUGAAUAAUAAAGAUUUAUCAUGAUAUAAGGAAAUAUAAAUAACAACUUUAUUAUUGCCUCUAGGGCAUAUUUCCUUCAGGAAGAGCAUUGCGGGUGGGAGGGAGAAGGGGAAUUAAGAGAGUGUAGGUUUCGGUUUGGGCCUCCGCGCGCUAUGUGUACACAUGUGUUGGUGGGUCAAUAGUAGUGGCGCCAGGUUUAUACCCCACACUACUACUAUGGCCUAUCCCGGGGGUACGAUAGAGACCACUUAGUAGUAGCGAGGGAUUUAUACCCCUCGGUACUACUAUCAACUUAGUACUAGUGAGGGAUUUAUACCCCUUGCUACUACUAUCAACUUAGUAGUAGUGAGGGAUUUAUACCCCUCGAUACUACUAUGGCCAGUCCCGGGGGGCACGGUGGAGACCACUUAGUAGUAGUGUGGGGUUUAUACCGCUCGCUACUACUAUCAACUUAGUAGUAGCGUGGGUUCUAUACCCCUCUCUACUAAUAAUUAGCAGCAGUGUGGCCCAUAUACCCCUUGCUACUGUUAAGCAUCUAUCUAUAAAUUAUUUUCUAGUAGUGCAUCAAUGGCGGCGAAAUCAGUCAUUCUGCUUGUUUUCCCUACUAGCUCUCUGACGUCCAGAACAAGUUUACGGUCAUAAGGUGCAAUGCCCUUGCCUUCAUGAGUGACACGAUGACACGGGAACGGGCUUCCAAGCCUAUGGUGUCGCAUCGUGUCGUGGUCUGCUAAACUUAGUGGACGGAUGCUACUCCAAUAUCGGUUGAUCCUAUACUACGGUACCAAGGAAGACACGCAACUACUAUAUAUAUUUCUUCAAGUCAGUCAACACAAGUAAACUCUGGGAGUUCAACUGGUGCAGCUAUGCAAUGCUAAUGGAGACAACACAAUUCAACUUUAGCACUUCACACAUAAGAAAAACCACGUUCAAUGGCACACACCUUAGAGUGUACCUAUGGUGGUUGAAUGGGCUAUAAGAAAUGUGAGUCCAUGUGAAGAUGCCAAACAUAAUAACACGGCUAAUUACACAUGCAGUGGCAGCAGCAACAAGUGCGUGAAUUCAACAAAUGAUCUAGGGUACACAUGCAACGGUGUCCUUGAGUAUGACAACAACCCUUAUCUUCUAGACAAAUGCAUGGUAUGCUACUAAUUUAUUUGCUACAAAUUCCAAUGAAUUGUGUCCUUUGCUUUGUACAUACCCAAUUAUAAUAUUUUAUUAUGCUAAUACAAUGUAGCCUUCAAUUUAAACCAAGGUUUGCAUCCAUUAAUUAUGUUAGGUUCAUAUGACUUCACUACAUAAAUAGGUAGAUAAUGCAUAAGACUGAGAUUGUAGCUAGGGAUGAAAAUCUAAAUACGGCAUGAAUCUAACAAUUAUGAGUAAUGUCUUUGUGACAAGAACUUUCUUUGUCUUUUAUUCCCAUGUUUGAACUAGUAUAGGUCAGGGUUACACAUUAUGGUGCACAUCACUUUAUUUGUCACCGUUACAUUGAACACCCAUUGACUAAACAACGAUAAUCCAUCCGUCUUGUAUUACAGGUCUUCAUUUCAUUGGCCACCGAUGCUUGUAAGACUACUCCCAGAUGGUUGUUGUUGUGGAUAUGGUUGUUGAGGUUGGUGUGGUUGCUGGGGGAAUGGUUGUUGGGGUUGCUGGGAAAUUGUUUGUUCUAGUUGCUGGGAUAAUUGUUGUUGGGGCUGCAAAAAUGGUUGUUGUGGUUGCAGGAUGGAUGGUUGCUGGGGUUGGGGCUGGGGAAAUGAUUGUUGUGAUUGUUGGGGUUGCUGGGAAAAUGGUUGUUGCGGUUGAAGGGGGAAUGGUUGUUGUGGUUAUAGAGGGAAAGGUUGUUGUGGUUGUUGAGGGAAUGGUUGUUGUGGUUGUUGNNNNNNNNNNNNNNNNNNNNNNNNNNNNNNNNNNNNNNNNNNNNNNNNNNNNNNNNNNNNNNNNNNNNNNNNNNNNNNNNNNNNNNNNNNNNNNNNNNNNNNNNNNNNNNNNNNNNNNNNNNNNNNNNNNNNNNNNNNNNNNNNNNNNNNNNNNNNNNNNNNNNNNNNNNNNNNNNNNNNNNNNNNNNNNNNNNNNNNNNNNNNNNNNNNNNNNNNNNNNNNNNNNNNNNNNNNNNNNNNNNNNNNNNNNNNNNNNNNNNNNNNNNNNNNNNNNNNNNNNNNNNNNNNNNNNNNNNNNNNNNNNNNNNNNNNNNNNNNNNNNNNNNNNNNNNNNNNNNNNNNNNNNNNNNNNNGAAUGGUUGGUGGGGAAUUAUUUGUUCUGGUUGCUGGGGAAUUAUUUGUUCUGGUUGCUGGGGGAAUGGUAGUUGGGGUUGGGGAAAUGGUUGUUGGGGUUGCUGGGGGAAUGGCUGUUGUGGUUGCAGAGGGAACGAUUGUUGGGUCUGGGGAAAUGGUUGUUGUGGUUGCCAGGAAAAUGGUUGUUGGGGCUGUGGAAAAGGUUGUUGUGGUUGUUGGGGUUGCUGGGGGAAUGGUUGUUGUGGUUGUAAGGGGGUCGGUUGUUGGGGUUGGGGAUAUAAUUGUUGUGAUUGCUGGAGAAAUUGUUGUUGGGGUGUGGAAAAUGGUUGUUGUGAUGGAUAUGGUUGCUAUGAUGGAUAUGGUUGUUGUGGAUAUGGCUGUUGUGGAAAUGGUUGUUGUUGAUGGGAAAAUGAUUGUUGAGGUGAUUGUAACUCUUUGUUGCUAGGGUUUAGCUGCCUAGCGGCAAUGGCGGUGUUCAUCGCCAUGGCAAGGAGGACAAAGAUGAGGAAGGUCUUCAUGUUGGAUUUGUGGUUACUACUGCUUGCUUGCCUUUGAUGCUUGUGGUCUAGGUGUGUGAAGUUUGGUUGAUGGAAGGUGUCCUUGGUGGUGCAUGUGUAUUUAUAGUUUUCAUGGCAUGGCUUGCUUUCAUCUUUGCACUCGCUCUUUGAAAAAGUGCAUCAAUGCUUAUCCAACUAAUCAUUUGGUUUGUUGUGUUUGGUGCAACUACUUACU
This 75873-nucleotide long non-coding RNA is filed under the name Triticum aestivum (bread wheat). RNAcentral's name for it is "long non-coding RNA (TAES_LNC024411)". Lineage: Eukaryota; Viridiplantae; Streptophyta; Magnoliopsida; Poales; Poaceae. The record is from RNAcentral.